Long non-coding RNA from Cavia porcellus (domestic guinea pig), 45660 nucleotides. RefSeq lists it as uncharacterized. The transcript is spliced from 8 exons. The record is from RefSeq and is a predicted model, not a curated record. NCBI's taxonomy places the organism in Eukaryota, Metazoa, Chordata, Mammalia, Rodentia, Caviidae.
UUAAGCACUGGAGGGACCAUACUAAUAUAUUAAUAUACUUCCUGUAUAUUAAUAUACAGGAAUUACUAUACUUCCUGUAAGUAGUAAACAUGAAUGAGUUGUUAUAAAAAGAAUGAGCCUGGCCCUUAAAUCUCUCUGAUUUUGUUUCACCAGGUGAUCUCUCCCAGUCCUACGUGCACCUCUGCCAUGACACCAUCACCAUGUUCUGAUGCAGCCAGAAAGCACUCAACAGAGCAGAGAGGAUGCUGGCAUCAUACUCACGAAUCUCCAGAAUUAUGUACUAAAUGUGCCUUCACUUUUUAAAAACAAAGCAUCCAGCCUCAGAAGCUGGUUAUGGCACAACACUCGAGCAAGAGGCCUGGGGUUCCAGUCUGCCUCAUGAAGGCAGAGUAUCACAUCUUGGAAAGACUGCAGGAAGUUAGUUCAUUUCAUUCUGCGCCGUGAGCUAGUCAGCAGUUAAUGGACUCAGACUGUAAGGUAAGUUCCCCUAAGUUCUCAGGGUGCAUUCGCACCAACAGUAAGCAGAUAUAGAUCUGGCCCCAAAGCCGGGCCCUGUGCACUGCUGGUUGCACAGCACCUUGUGAGGGCCAUGUAGCUGCUCACCUGGGGAGGAACACAUCCAUCCUGGUUCUCCUUAGCCUGCUGGUCCAGAGGUGAAGGACUCUGGCUGUAAGUUGUGGCUCAAUGUGGUCCAGGGGUGUAUCUCUGUCACGGGACAGCACCAGGAAGAGACUUGCUGCCCUCCCCAGGUAUGGCAGCUCCAGCAGUGACACUUGAUGACCCAUGGCAUCCUGGAACUGGCCUGGGGAUUAGUGGGUCAGGAAUUAGCUCUGUCCUAGAAGUCAGGGAGGCUGAACAGUGCCAGACCCAAGGAGGAGACAGUUGAUAGUUCAGGAAACAGUAAAACAGGUGUCUUCUCACCCGUAUGGAGCAGUUUGCAGCUGAAGACUUCAGGGUGGCAUAGUCCCUUAUUUAUCCCAAGGCCCAGCAUCUCUUAGAUACAACACAGGGCCCAGGUCAGAGGCCUGUACUUGCUAUGUACAGUGGAGACAAUGGCACAAGGUAGAACCAUGUAUACUAUCUUGAAGGGGCAGCCCAUCCAGUUCUGGCCCACGGGCACUCUAGGUCUUUUACACUGGAUCUCCUUAUCUCAGUAAAAGCUCUAAAUCCAGAUUUCUCAAUUUCUAAGACUCUACACAGACUCAGUGUAACCUGAGUUCAGGCUAGAUUUGACCUGGUAACUGAUUAAUAACCUGUGACCUAAAAAGUAGUUCCAGGAUGGGCACAUGGGAAGUGCAAAUGUCUGGCUGAGGACGAGUCUAGGGCAUCAGCCAAAGCAUGAUUUUUAGAAGGGUGUGAUAGGGUAGGUGGCAGGUGGCAGCAGACAAAGAUAGCCAGUAGCAAGGAAUUGAUGGUGAGUAAUGUAAAUAAUCCAGGUGGGCGGGAGUCUCACCAGGACUCCAGUUUAGAUCCUGUCCCUAGGAGGAUGGUGAGGCCAAGGAACUGGUAUGGGUUGGGAACAGAUUUGCCAGGCCACUAAGACAAAAUCUUAGGCUCAGUAGGAAAGAUGGGAACAUAGUUCCCUGCCAUAGUUCACACGGUCUACAGGUCUUUAUUCAGCAUCCACUAUGUAUCAGCUACCAGGAAUACUUGUAUUCUGGGAAGCAUAAGAGGACAUAGAGCCCAUCUACUGCCAUAACGCUGUCAAACUAACCUAUGAGGUCAGAAUAGCAAUAACAACAGGGCAAGAACAAGAACUAUAAUUAAUUGUAUAUGCAUAUUUAUUUAACAAAUAGAUGUUCUUUAGUUUGCAUCUCACAAACACACAAAUAUGUUUCCUGAGCACUUACUAUGUGCCGGCAUGGAAAAGCAGAACUACUAGCUGGGCUGCUAAAUGCCAACGUUCCUACAGGAGCAAUGGGGCCUUCAGUCUAGUAGGGACUCAGUCUUCAUGCUCGCUCCAUACCCACUACGUAAAGGUGCCUGUCAGGGGUGUGAUUUGGUCCAGAAAGAUAGUUUUCCAUUAAUUCCUUUCUUACUAAAUGUAUUGCAGAAUAUCAAGCAUAAAAUUGGGUUCUCAUCCCGAUCUUUCCUCACUGUCCUGUUGACACAGACUGUCCAGUGGGCCCUCUCUGAAUUUCCUGCCACCCAUUGUCUUUUGGCUGAGUGACAGCCCAGAGGAUGACAUCACAGUGAAACACACAGAGGCCUGGGUUUUUGUCUGCCACCACAUGGUCAUGCCUGCUCUGACGUCCUCUCACCCAGGGGCAGGGGCUCACCAUAGUUGACCUCAGCCGUCUGGUGCAUCAUGGGGACUCGAAAGACGAGGCCGUGGGCACUGGUGAAAGGCAGGGGCUGUGAGUCCAUGGAGGAGAAUGUCUUCUGCCAACGGCUUUGGAAGGUCACAGUGCUCACGAGGGCGAGCUGGGCAGACGCAGUGCUGCCCUCCUCCCACGGUAGGCUGUCUGGGCCCCAGCCUGGAAGCAGAGGAGCGAGCACAAGGGUAGAUGUACAUUAUGACCGCACUGAACACAGUAUGUAUGUGGCCAAGGAGUGCAGAGCUAAAGUGCAAAACACAAGGUAUCCUUUGAUAAUGGGGUAUUUCUCAUGUGACCCCCUGCCCUGAGCCCUGUUUUUGUCUCUGUUUUUGUUUCACAAUAUCUUUUCCAUGUACUCAAAAUUGCUUAAUUCCCUAAGUCCCUUCUGCUGCUGGAUACCCAAGGCCAUACUAGGUGCUAUCAACUUGCUGUCCUGGGCUUGGGCCAUGGAAAUGGGAGGUGAGAACUCAGAAAUCAUAGAGUCCUGACAUCUGGAUACCUGCAGGUAGGCUGUCGCUUACUUACAUCUGUUAAUUGCAGCACACUUAUGUGUUUAUAACUAUCUGUUGCUUAAGAUCGUACUCUUCUUUCUUGAAUAGGGAUGCUCCCCCUGCUUCUGUCUGGGCUGUUUCACAGGGACCAUUAAGCACUUCCUCCACAGAGCCCGUGGAGCUGAUGCAUCAUCCUCUAGUUCCCACUGUCCAUGCUGAGCCAUGUCAUUUGCUGGUCCUUUGCUAAGAAAAUGGCAUUCACAGCAUGGUCUUUGGAGGGCGGUAAUUAAAAUCCAUGAAUUACCAAAAGAGAAGUAGGCAGGAGCAGACCACUUCUAUUAGGGUCAGCUCUUAGACUUUUAUUAAUUUAAUAAACACAUACUUUGUACUAGGCUCUAUCUUAAAUUCUUAAGUAAAUUCUUACUUAUCUUUUAUUUCUCAUUUUAUUGGUGAAGGAACCUAGGGUUGGAGAAGUUAGUCAAGGUCAUAUAUUUAUGAGGGGCAAAAUCACCAUUCAACCAAUUACUAAGACAAACCUUGGAUUUGAGCAAGAGCAGCCUCAAAUUUGUGCUCUAGAUGACUGUAGUGGGCAGGUUAGUCUGGGAAUUUAGAACAGCAAGUGUGACCUCUCUGUGGGGGAGAGGGUGGAGAAUGAGACAUAGAAUUCAAACUUUAAAUAAAUUGACAAGAUGUUAAACAUUCCAGAAACCUGAGAGUUUGCAAGCUUAUUCAAUUACAACGUGUAUCCUACUGCUUUCUUUUCUGCUUUAGAAACAACAAUGAAUCUUGAAUGUUCUUCAUAUUCUGGAUAGUUUUGUAAUUUCCAAGGGUGCUGGGGCAUGCCAUCUGGGUGAGCGUCCUGGCUUUGUAGCCCACGUCAGACAGGAAGCUUGGCCCUUGGUGCCUCCAUUCCAGCAACUGUAAAAUUGGUGUCUGCUUUCUAAAAUCAUUGUGGGAGCGGACUGAGAUAAUGAACUUCAAGGACUGCUAAAUGAGUAGAUGGUCAGUAAAGAUGAACAAUUUCCAUCAUGUUUGGUAAUAGUUACAAUGGUAUGGUGGCAGUUGCUGUACUUCUCUGAAUCACUCCUUGUUGUUGGAAAGUUACAUUUUACAUAGUCUUUUUCUUCAAUAAAAUAGCAUCUUAUUCCAUAUAACUUUAUCUUUUUUUGAAUUGUCUCCUUACUCUAAAUUCCCAAGUAACCACAUUGUUGGUCCCUCCUGCAUUUCAAUAUCAUAAUUGUGGAUGAAGCAAAGCUAAGUGGAAAUUCACUGAGGGGAAAGGGGCAGAGGACAAAGCCUGUAGGGUAUGUCUAGACACAGAAAGCUCUGAGAGCAUCUCUAUGUGUGUUUUUGUGUGUGCUUGUGCACAUGUAUAUUUAUGUGUGUGUAGGAGGCAGAAGGGGACAAGAGUCAGCUUUAGUUGCUUCCCAGAGCAAUCACCCAAAUGUAAAGUUUCCCAAGUGGACGAACUUUUGGUGUAAUUGCGGGUAGCCUGAGCACCAUGACUUCUAACAAGCAACAUAUGAUAUUGUCCUGGCAGCCCUCUGACCUCAGAGGGGAAUGGUUUUUUGUUUUUUGUUUUUUGUUUUUUUUUUUUUUUUUACCUGUGAGUUGUUCAGAUUCCUCUUUGUUGGUCUGGAUGGUGGUGCCAUUGGAUUUACUGAGGUCAACUGGCUCCACACUGCUGUUGGCCCACGUGGAGACCUGCUCCACAAAGCAGGGAGACAGCGGCGUUCCCACUUGUACAAAAAGGGUGCACGCCAGCUCUGUCUUGGUGCCUUGGCUGGAGUUGCGCAACGUGGAAUAAACAGCAUGCAUGAAAUCCCUCACUCUUGGGUCUGUAAAAAAGGAACUGGAAUAAGUCAACAGUGCAUGUGUGAGUAAGGAGCUGGCAUAACCCCAUCUUUACUUUGUAUUUAAAUGGGACUCAAGCAAUGCCACUUUUUGAGGUGCAUUCAUUCUAUGUGGUCAGCUGGUUAAGUUGUAGAUAAUUUGCUUAGGAAUCAGCCUAGUUCCUCAAAGUAAACAUUGAGAAGAAAGCACGCUAGCUCUGAAAGCAGUGCGGCUGCUUUCAGUGGAGGCACCUCCAUUCUCUAGAUGAUAGAAACUGGUUUGUUUUCUCCUAACUUCUUGAUUCAGGAACUUUGGCAAGUGAGGGAGGGAUGAUUCUAGAGCUUAGAAAAUCACAAGUUCAAUGUGCAGGACGAUUCAAAUGCUAGCAAAGUCAAGAGAUUUAUGUCCAGUGUCACCGCUAACAAUGAUGGGAGGAGGAGGGGUUGUGCUGCUGUGAAUAGACCUCAGUAGGGUCUCAUAUCCAUCUCCAUGACUGCACAGUAUAAGCCUGAGUGACCUUUCAGUGCAGCCUCUUUUACAAGUAUGCAUACAGUUUGAGAAACACAGAGGAAAAGUGAGACAGGAACUCCUCCCAUCCUCCAUCUGCCUGACAUCCAGCAGACGACUCAUUAUUAAUGUCAGUGAGCUGCUGCAAGGAUGCUGUGGAAAUAAACAUUUGAGAGAGAGUGGUAACUUCCACCUUCUUGCAUGGCAGCUGGAUGGACUACUAUUUAUUUACUAUUUACACAGGAGAGUGCUGUUUUCUCUGUAUAAUCAAUACUGGAUUUAAUUUUCAUGCUAUUAUUUGCAAGAUGCAGCUUCUAGUUUCCUUAGGCAUCCUGCGACUGAAACGAGGCCUUCCACUCAUCGGUAAGACUGGACACAGUUGAGGUCCUCCAGCUUUAUACUCCUGACCAUGCAAGUUAGAUUUGACUUUACUGAGGAAGGCCAUCUGUAUUUCUGGGAUCACAUCAUUGCAGGAUGUUGACUCUGCAGAGAAGCUGUGGGGGUGUUUGCAGAAGUGAAGCCUCCUGGUUGUACAGGCUUCCUGUACAACCUUCCCCUUUCCCUUCUUUGUACUUCUCCUUUGUCUCUGGUACAACCCAGUAGUUGUCCCCAACCACUUUCUGGAAGACACAGUGCUGAGUCCCUUUCCUGCACCAACUGCCCCAGCUAGCUCUGCUGCUAGACUAUUGCAUGACCCUCUCACUCAUCUGUCCCCUCUAGCACCUUCUAGGCUACAGAGGCCAACUCAGGAGUCAACAGCAUACUCUGAGUAACUGGCUCACAUUCUCUGUGGGACAUGGCACUCAGAAUCCACCCUAAAAGUCAUGGCUGCCAGUCCUAGUUUGCAUAUCACAGAGGCAGGCAAAUAUUACUCAUUCCCACCAUUCAUUAGCCCAACUGCUUGUUAGAAUAUACAACUGUAAAAAAAAUUAGAUUCCAUGAAUUACAGCCUAGUUUGAGUGCUUGUAUUUAUUGGGAGAAAAGAAUUAAAUAGAAAAAAUAUGUACUUAUAAUUAGAUUUUGCCUAGUAAAGAAGGUCAUCGCUAUUUCUGGGAUCACACCCCUGUAGAACAUUGUCUGUCUGCAGAGAAGCCUUGAGAUAUUUCAAGGCCUGUAGUGCAGAAUGAAUUUAGGAAUGGUCCUGAGUUUUUCUCUUCAUCCCUCUGGCUGGGGACCAGUGUUUUUUUUUUUUUGUACUGGGUAUUGAACUGAUAACCUUACACUUGCCAGGCAGGCUCUUGUGCUGCUGAGCUAAAUCCCCAGCCCAGGACCAACAUUUUUACAGUCAGGAACAUUAACAGAGCACAGUCAGCUGGCUUGAAGUAGAUUUUAGUGCAAACCUUUACCUGCACUGAUUAGUCCCUGUUUAUGCAAAUAGGAAAGAGCUUUUCUACAUGUGCCAUAAUACACAUCACUAGAUUAAAAACUAUCAAGCGGUAACAGUGAUGAUAGACACUGUGCAGCCUGCUCCACAUACCUGGUCACAUUAAAUCUUUCUAUGAACAUUGUGACUGGGGAGCUAUUAUUAUCCCCAUUUUAUAGAUGAGGGAUCUGAGGCUUAGGCAAAUUCAUGGUGGCACUUGCUCUGUGUAGUAACUAAGUGGUAGGUGACAGUGCCUCACUGUGCUGUCUACCCAGAGGGCAGGGAACAGGUAAACAGAUUCUAAUAAAUUCUAAUAAAUCACUGAGUGAGGGAAGGAGGGAAGGAGCAGUAUAGAUCAAGAGCAUAAUGAGGGGGGUGUGCAAAAGGGUCCCUGGGCAAGUGCAGAGCGGGAAGAAAGUACUGGAAGCAUCUAUGAAUCCUGCAGCAAAUCAGCCUUUUAGUUCAUUUGACGAGUGUGGAAAAAGGUCUUCCUUUUUAAAUAAAUCUGCAGGACAAAAUUUCUUGAAUAUGAUACUGAAUGCUGUAGGUCUUAACUUUGUAAGGUUAAUGGCUAUAAAAUUCUCAAACUAUAAGAACUAUCGUUUCAAAGCUGGUAUUUUAGUUGCCUGUGAACUAAAAGGGAGUUAAGCUCUCCAGUGGAUUUAGUGAGUUGUGAGGAAAUGAGGUUGCCUACGAUGAGAAACAGAGAAGAUAAGUUAUGUACACAUCAUGCAACUGCUCCACAGCUGAAGGGGUGCCGAGGAAUUGCAUAAAGCACACAGGACACGGAAGCCGAAACUAUGGAACUGGAAUCCCAGCUCUGUUGCUUGCCUUUUAGGCGAGCUGAGUUUGGCCAAGUCAUUCAUUCACCUUAAUGUAAAAUGGGCCAUGUUAAUAAAAUGUUAAUAAAGGCCUAGAAAUUGUAGAAGAUCUCUUUAGGGGAUCAAAUGUCAUAAGCACUUCUAACAUAAACUCCAUAGGCAUUAUGAAAGAGAAUCCAAGGAACCAGAUCACCUUUAUCUUUGAGGCUUUUGCUCCUGGCACUCUUUUAUGCUUAAUAGAACAUAUUAAAAUUUCUCCUAAUUUCUCCUUUAUGAAUUUACUUAAAAGAACAAUGAAAAUUCCCAGAAGCUAGGACAUUGUUUAAUGUGGUGAAAAUAGGGUGCUUUUGGAGGAUAUCUCUGGUUUUUGUUCUGAACUCAUCUGGUGCUGCAGGACCAGCAGCAAAACUGCUGCUUGCCACAUAGUGUCUGGGGGUACAGUGGGAGGACAAUGCUGAUGUAUUGCCUUGCAACUUGGGCAGAUCUUUCUGUUGAUUAAACAGGCACAGGGCUCCCAGGCUCCUGGGAUGUCCUUAGCUCCUGGUUUUACAGCUGCAUUAUAGGUAGGUAUUAGCUUUUAUAAGAAAGGCUGGGCUAGGACAAGGGAUGAGCACUGGUGUGUAGUUUUAAGCAGUGCACAUGAGUUUCUUGGAGCUGCUCUGGUACAAACCAAAGCACAGAGUUGUGUGAAACAGAAUUCUGAAAAUAGUACAUUCUUGUUCUUGGUAUUAACUAUGGCUCCAUAAAAUGAUAAACCAGUUUAUGAUUAAGAAAAUUAAGGGAGAUUAUUGUUCCAUGGAGUUUGACUAUUAAGCGUUCUUGACAUUUGCUGAUUCUCUAAUGGGCUCUGUGAUAUCUUCGGCCACACUGCCCUGCCCUGAACACACCUGGUCUCAUUUUAGGGCUCUGUGAAAAGAGCAUCAUCACAUUUGCUUAACCAGUCACCAUGACUGCUCUUGACAACAGAGAGUUGAUUAUACAGUUUCCUUUCUCUGUGGGAUAGUGACACUUGCAUUUCUCACUCGCCAAUCCUGACUUUUGUGAGGCUCUAUUUAAAGGUCCAUUCCUCAGAGCUCAGAUGUCAUGUCUUUGGGGAAACUUUCUGAUCUGUCAGCAGAAUCAAGCACUUCCUCCACAUACUAACCUGAUUUACCCAAAUGCACGUAUGGCACUGAAUUAGAGGUUUUUCUAUGUGUAUUGCUCAUCUGAGAGUGAGCUGCCUGCAUUCAGAGUUAUUAUAUGUUUCCAGCACAGCACUGACCCUUGCAGCAGCAAUUCCCAAGACCCUGGCAGAUUUCAUUGCACUGAGUCUAUUGUGGGUGAAGAAUAACUUGGUGUGUGAGUGUACUUCUGUGAUACACUUGCUGAGAGAAAUUAAGGUUAAAAACCUGUCUUCAACCUCAGUUAUCUCCAGAGGAGACACACACUUGUCUAUAGGCUAUCAGGAUCAUGAGAAAUGUUUUGGCAGGGCACAGGGAGUAGAUGCAGAGCGACGGGGAGUUCACCUUGUCCUGGGGUCCAGCUGAAUGCUAACUAAUCUUUACUCGCCAACUGAAGAUUUCAUUGUAAAGCUUGCUCUCCAGGCAGUAUUGGUAUUAAUUCUUGUGCUUUCUGAUAAAUAUUAAUUUAUGCAAAGGUCACUGUCGUCUGUUUUAUUGACAUCUUGUCCUGAGUUGGGGAAGAAAAAGUUGUGCAAGUGACUGCUACCUUAGUGUGGAGCUGGUUGGCAGGCACUGAGGAUAAGCAUUAAGCUGAGGCUAAGCUACAAUCAAGAGACUCUCACGGCUGUUGUGGAACUCUUCUAAAACACAGAAUUCACAGAAAUAAGCUGGCAGGUCAGGCACUGGCCAGAAGUCACAGAUUCAUAAAAGCGGGCUUGUCAAUAGCAUGAGAUCUAGAGCCAAACAGUCUGGGCUGAGCUCCAGCUCUGCCCCUUACUGGCUGUGACUGCCAGAGAAUUGCUCCCACUUUCUGUACCUAUUUGCUCAUCCUCUAUCCCAAUAAGGUUGUUGUGUGGCUAUUCAUUUAAUUAAUAUUUUAAGGUGCUUCCCACACUGCUUGGCACUUAGCGAGCUCUAUAAAAGGGUGUAUGAAAUGAAAUUGAAAUAUUGCCAUGGAAUCCAAAGUUAGAAGGGAACCUUAAAAGUCCAGGGUGAUCCCUGUUCCAAAGUGGGAAUGCCUUCUGCUGCAUUCGUGCCCAGUGGUCAUCCUGCUGUGGAUUUGCACACCAGCUAAGCACCCCCUAUCUGAAACAGCCCGAGCCGGGAGUUGAGCCGGAGCAAGAAUAUGGGCAAGGAUGAAUGUGAACAGGAGAGAAAGUGUGACAGACCGACAGAACUCUUACCAUGUACAGUGUAUCCCAGUGCAUCUGCCAGCUGCCGGCUAGUAUUUCCCUGGGCUCCAAACUGUAGAAUCUCUAGCGCGAGAGACACACCAGCAGGUGAGAUGACAAAAUUUGUCCCAUUUUCCCCCGCUGCCACACUGUGGUAGAGUCGGAGUGCAAAUUCUGUCUUUUUCCAGGGCAGGCCUUCCUGAGGGAGGAGACUGCUUCCUCUUCUGGGGAAGCAGGAGUGGAGGAGGAGGAGGGUGAGUGGCAGGAGAGGCAACAUGGCAGCGGGGAGACCUCCUGUAGUUCAAAAGGAAGAGAUGCAGGUUGAGGCAGGCGAUGCCACAGAGAAGCAGGACGCCCGGUUCAUGUGCAUGGCUGUCCGAGUGUGGAGUUGGGAAUGGCGGAAGGAGAGAUUCACUAAGCUGUCCUGGUCACCCAUCUAUGAGAUCAGCCACCAGUCUGCUUGAUUGUACAGGGAUCUUCUCGUGUUUUAUAUUCAGCCAGCUUAUAGCUGUGCCAUGCUUAUCACAAAUAAUAAUAUUAAUAAUCAUUGAUAAUUAUCUAUCAUGUUAUAAAGGACUUUAUAUGUCCCCAUUCAGUUAAUCAUUCCAACACUCUUACUAGGUAGCUGUUUUUAUUUUUCCACAAUAGAGAAGAUGAGUGAGGUUUAGAGAGCUCAGUGGCCCAUUUACAUCAGAAACCAACAGGGUUGUGACUCCAAUCCUGCUUUUCUGAGUGGUCUAUAAAAUUCUUUAGGGUCAGGGGUGUAGCUCAGCAGUAUAAGUGCCUGCCUGGCAAGCGUGAGGUCGUGAGUUCGAUCCCCAAUACCAAAAACAAACAAACAAAAAUACUUUAAAACACUGCUAUAUGAAUCAAGUGUGGUGGCACAUACCUGUAAUCUCAGCAUCCUAGAGGUGAGACUGCAAAUUUGAGGCCUGCCUGGGCUACCUAAUGAGUUCAAGGCCAGUUUGAACUAUAUAGGUAGAUCCUGUCCUGACAAACCAAAAAAUUGAUGUAUGCCUUAAUCACCAAGAAUUCCAGAAUUCUCAUAGAAUUAAUUUCAUAAGAAAGAACACUUUCACAGAGAGAGAAGUUAUGGGAAAGAAGGUUCCUACCACAGAACUAUACCCUUCCAAGGAACAGAGAACAACCACUAGCUAGAAAUUAAUGCCUAGAGAGAAAAGCAAAGCAAAAACUUUUUCCAUACAUAUGCUACUCAGAUGACAUAAUUUUCACCAAGUAGUCUAACUCUGGAAUCAUACUGGACUGAUGUGACAUAGACUCCAUUCAAAGUCACUUUUUAUGGAAGUCUUCAAACAAGAUCCUGAGUUCAGUAGGAUUUCCUUCAGACAAAGACCCAAGAUACAAAACCAUCUCUUGUUUUCCAUCUCUUUCUCCUGAAGCCAGACAUAAAUGCAGUGUAUGGAUGAUCUUGGUAGCAUUUCUGCCUGUGUGCCUAUGUUUAUGUACCUGGAGAUAGCAAGCCCCAGGCCAGGGUCAUUUGUGAAAGCCUCAAAUCCCACUUCAGGAAUCUUGCAGCUGGUAUAGCUUCCCAUAGGAAUAUUUAGCCCUUAGCAAUCAGAUCUUGAUGCCCAAGACUGUCCAUAACCCAAGCCCCACUGGCUCACCACAGAUGAGCUGCUUACUCGCAGUCUCUUGAGUCAGAGUGUUGAGUUCUCGUGCUCAGUUCUGUUCCUGUGGGUCUCCAGCACUAUGUGCUCCCUUUAAAACACAAAAUCAAAAAGAAAAAAAAAAGUGGAGCAGAAUCUGCUUUGAAUCACAAGACAGAACAGGGAGGAAACUGGUGAUUGUCGUCUCUGCCGGCGAUGUCUCUACCACUCAGUCCAAAUUCCUAGAGCUUGGAGGUCCUGGGAGCCAGGGAGCAGGAGAAGCAGCCCAGCCCAGGCAGCAAAGCCCAGAUUGGGAACAGAGUGGGGUCCUGGGGACAGAGCCAGCCAUACCCGUCAAGCCUUCUUAGGCUUGUGACCUGGUUGUACCAGCAAGGAACCCCUUGUCUAGCUCUGUGUCACUUUGAAGAAUUCCACUGAUAACUCUGUGUCUGGGAUUUUUCUAGGUACCAGGUACUUACUGCUUCUCCCUUAGUUCUGUGAAGAAAAUAGUAAGUCUGUUUUUGGGCAUGAACUGAAACUUUAGCGAAUCAAAUUCUGCAAAAGAGAAAGAAAGCAAUGUAAAGUCUGACACAGUUUGCAACAGGGUGUCUUGUUUUUUUUUUCAUUAUUAAUAAAAGUGAAUACAUUCAUUUAUUUGUUACAUGAGCACUAUUAAGAAUCAAUGACUCAAUUUGACAGAGAGAGAGAGAGAGAGAGAGAGAGAGAGAGAGAGAGAGAGCUGUACUGACAGGUUGUCAGUAAAUAGAAGCAUAGUUUUGAAAAAUAUAAAUGGCUUUUGUCAGAUGUUCAUCAAUUGUGACCAACUUAGAAUUAUAAACAUUUCUGUUAAGGCCUUAGAUACUUCAUUAAGUUCAAAAUAGACGGUAGGUUGUAUGUUGUUAAAGAUUAAAGAAAAAAAGAAGAUAUUUGGAAACAAAUACAAUUCUUACUAGUUAGAUAUCUGUUAGUGUUAAUAUUUAAAAAUGAAUGGAUUAUAUUUUUACCUGACAACUAGGCGGGCCCCUACAAUCAGAAGGCAGUUCACUUUAAGCAGAGUUCUAUUGCUAACACCCAAGCAUGGAAUAGUUAAUAGGUCUUAAGAUAGUUACAGUUUAAUAUUUAUUUCCCCUCAAAUCUUAAAUUUAAAUAUAAGUUCAUUAUUGUGUCCCUUGUACUCUAAGCCAUAGUAUGAUAGGAAAAUCAAUUUGUUUAAUUUAUUCUAUAGAACCCAGAGAAUACAUGUCAUCCAUAGAUCCACUCAUCCAUCUCCACCCAUCCAUCCAUCCACCUAUUCAUCUCCGUCCAUCCAUCCCACGAAUAGCCUCCUAUUUGAUUGCCUGAUUGCCUGCUUGGUUCUGGGGCUCUGGGGAUGUGGCAGUGAACCAGCAACUUGGGCUAACCUUUCAUGGAACUUAAAGCUUUGUUCCUUGAGUUGAUACUUAGAUGUUGACGGUAUUAAGAAGAAAGAGUCAUAGUAACUUAACAGGGGCCGUCUGGCAACAUUAUGAGGACUAUUUGUAACUUAAUUAUGAGGCCUAUUUGGCUGUAAUUAUUUGAUCAGAAUCUGGUUCACAAUUUGCCACUGCAGGGGUGGAGAGAUGUUUGUAAAACAAUUUCCUGAAUUAGAAGAAGAUUGUUGUGUGUGACUUCUGUGAGUAUUCUUUCUUAACUAAAAAUGUAGCUUUCUAGAUUGCUUUGAAUAAGAUUUUUCCAGAAACAAUGCCAGAGAAACAUCAUAAAAGAGAGGUCUCUUACACAGGCUGAACAUUUCAAAGUGUGAAUAAAUGAGAUGAACUGCAGCUGACUCCUGUGUGUACUCAGUGGUGAACUGGUGAAGUCGUUGGGCUCUGAUAAUUUUGGUAGAGACUGUCAUGUUUGUUUCUAUGUUGGUCAGGUAGAUAUUGGUUAACUUCUAAGGGAAGCUUCAUUCAGAUAUUUAUUUAUAAUUCUAACAACAAAAACACUGAACAUUAUUGAAUAUUUUCAGUGUUCUACAUUCUGUGUUACACACUUCCUAUCCACUAUUGCAGUGAAUCCUUACAACAAUUCUAUGAAAAAUAUAUAUUAUUCCCAGUCUUCUAACAAAAAAAAUAAGGCCAAAAGAGCUUAAAAACUUGCCUCAGAUCCUGCCAGGAGAAACUGGGGUUGAAAUCUAGGUCCAUCUUGACUCCAAGACUUACACUGUUUAUCGCAGUUGUGGUGGUGCCUGUUGACAAGCUUCCUGUUAUGCACAGGGACUAACUUCCAAGACAUUCUUUAAGUGCCUGGAACAAAAGACAGCAACAAACACUGUAGUUUUACAACUAUGCUAUUUCUCCCAUACACAUAUACAUAUCUUUGACAAGGUUUAGUUUAUAAACUACUCACCAUAAGAAAUAAAAACAACUCAUAAUAACAUGGAAAAGUUAUAAUGACAUAAUGUAAUAAAAGUUAUCUAAAACUUAUGACUUGCUUAUUUCUGGAAUUUUCUCUUUAAUAUUUUUGGACUGUACUUGACUGCAGGAUUGGAAACGUCAGAAAGUAAACCUCUGAGGUACAGGGGAAGGGCUGUACAGGAAAGUCCUGUUUUCCUAACUAUUAAAUACUGCAUUGGCAUGGUAUGUUUGUUAUAACUAACAUUGAUAUUAACUAAAGUCUAAGUUUACAUUAGGGUUUGCUCUUUCUAUUACCCAAUUCUGUGACUCAUCUCAAAGGUAUAAUGUUAUAUAUUCCCUUUACAGUAAUGUUCAGAAUAGUUCCACUGUCCUAAAAGUAUACUCCUUCCCUACAGUCCCUGGCAGCACUCAGCAUUUUACUCUCCUAUAGUUAGUUUUACCUUUUCCAGAAUAUCACACAAGUAGAAUCACAUAGGUGGAGCCUUUUCAGAAUAGGUGCUUUCACUUACUUUGUAUUUAAGGUUUCCUUUAUGUCUUUUUGUACCUUGGUGGCUCAUUUGUUUUUAUCACUAAAUAAUAUCCCCAUGCAUAAAUUUACCACAGUUUAUUUAUUCAUUUACUUAUUGAAGCACAUCUUUUUUGCUUCCAAGUUUUGGCAAUUUUAAAUAAAGCUGCUGUAACCUUCUGUGUGCGGAGUUUAGCAUUAAUACAACAUCAACUGGGUAAAUAAGAGGCUAUAGCUGGAUUAUAUGGUAAGAUUAGAUUUAGCUUUUGAAGCAACUGCUAAACUGUCUUCUAAAGGGACCGUGCCUUUUGCAAUUUCUACCAGCAAUUAAUGAGAUAUUCCUCUUGCGCCCUAUCCUUGCCAACAUUUGGUAUUGUCACUGUUUGGGAAUUUUAGUGAGACUAAUAUUCAGGUAGUGGUAUCUCAAUGUCUUAAUUUGCAAUUCUAUAAUGUCAUUUGAUGUCAAGCAUCUUUUUGUAUGUGUAUUUGCCAUUUAUGUAUGUUCUUUGUGAGGCAUUCAGGUUUUUUGUCACUUCAUAAUUUGAUUCUUUGUAUUUUUACAUUGAAUUUUAGUCAUUUUUCAUAUAUUUUGGUUAUAAGACCUUUCUUCUGGUUUUUGGUUUGUCUUUUUUCUUUUUUUUUGAGGCAGGUUCUUGCUGUGUAGUCAGGAUGGCCUUGAACUCAUUACGUAGCCCAGGCUGGCCUUGAACUCUCAUGGUGAUCCUCCUUCCUCAGCCUCCACAGUGCUGGGAUUACAGACAUGUACCACCACGCCUGGCUUGUCUUAUCUUUUCAACUCACUUGAUUUAUAGAGUUAAGAUAUAUAACGUAAAGUUAAGAUAUAUAAUGUAUAAUAUAAUGUAAAAUGAUCUUGCAGGGACUUCAAGGAAGGGCUUGGGAGAAGAUGCUAUGUCACCAUCAGCACUGUUGAUUCUCAUUCUAUGUUUGAGUGCACAUGCAAGCCAAAUAACCACAUUUUUUUUCCUUCUUGGUGGAGAGAGGAGGAAAAUUAGGUAAGGGGAAUAAGGACAGGUUAUAGCUUGUAUGUAGAUGUUCCUCAUGCAAUCCUAGGUAGGGCUUUUCAGAGGUGUUUGAAUAUAGGGUGUGUAGACAUAGGUUAAAGGUAAGUAUGUGCUAAUUAAAUUAGCUCCCUGAUUGUUUUAGCAUAGCUCUGGGUGUGGUUAAUGGGAAGGCCCACCGUAGGUGUGGAUGGUACCAUCCACUAGAUUUAAGCCUGAAUGGAUUAAAAGGGAAAAAGCAGAAGGAACAGUGCUGCCUCCUGCCUUCACUUUAAAGGACAGUUUCUCUCUUGCCAUACCACCCUGCCUUGGAGCCAUUGGCCAUGAACUGAAACCUCUACAAACUGUACACUAAAAUAAGCCUUUCCUCCUUAAACUUUUGCUGGUCAGGUAUGUUGUUCCAGCAAUGAGGAAGUCUAAGACAGAGAGCUACUUAAAAUGGCUUAGGUUUCAAGCAUUGUGAAAGAGCUAACCUUGUAGGCAGGCCCUGGGCACUAUGUGCCAUUAUUCUGUCCUAGGGGUACAGGAAAGCUGCAUCUCCACUUUUGAGGUGAUUGCUGAGAAAAUGCUGUAGGUUCCUCAAGGGACAAGAUGAAGGAGAUGUUUUAAAAGCAUAUGCCAGUGCUAGCACCCAUAUUAUAUGAACACACCUCUGCAGGAGAUGCAGAAGGAAGAGGAAGGGAGGGUGUGUGUGGGGUUGAGAUUAAAAAGUCUUUAUUUCUAUUUUCAACAUGUGGGUGCUAGAGAUGAUGAUAGUAAUGAGGUUCAGUUGCUGCCCAAGUGGAGAAGGGAAACAAAUAUGAGAAAUGGGGCAGGGCGGCACAAAGAAACAACAAACAGCUGGCACUGUUCUGGAAUUUUCUGGAUACACAAGAGAGACACACAGCAUCUGUGUGCACAACAAUACCCAAAAAAGCACACAGAUUUAUCCCCCAGUGCUCUAAACCCAGCAAGCCAACUGGAAGGGGGAAGAGUGGUGGUUUUGGGCUGCAGACUUAAGGCAGGCCCUGCUGAUGCCUCCCGUUGAUCUUCUGGAUGAUAAAGGUCUAGGGGUUCUGCUGGGGAAAAUGUCUCCAUUGAAGCCCCACUGCAUUACCCUUUAGAGCAACCCCAUUCAAGCAGAACCCAAACCUGAUUUCCCGAAAAGAAAAAUGGGAUCUUUUAUGCACAGUGGACUCCCAAGAAUAUCUUUUUUUUUCUUUUUUUGGAUUAUCAGUACACAUCUGACAUGACUAGGUUUUGUAUUACAAGGCAUUAGUCCUCAGGCUGAAGCAAAAGCUUAUGUUCAGGAUGUGGAGUAAAACUAUCACACCCAAAUAUCACCUAAUUUAAACAGGGCAGGGGCAUAAAAUGUGCACCAGCUGAUCAGUCUCUCUGCUAGCUUUGUGGCCACUCAGACUGCACAUUGGUGGCUCAUCUUUCACAGGUCUUGGUUUCCAUCUUUUCCAGGACAAAAAUCCCCUAAGGUCAGCAUGUUGUUGAUGGCAAUCAGCUCAGGACAUUCCUGGGAGAUGUAGGAAGUCAACGCUCAGGACGUCCGGCAGCUGUCUCUGCACACACUGGGGAAGCCAGGCACACUGGGUGCCUUUCACAGUCCAUUGGUUUACAUUUGCAGCCACUGUAUUUUAGAUGCACCACAGUUACUUAAGCCAUUACAUCAUGAGCUACAUUAAGUGUUUCCAAGUUAUACCACAACUUACCAGCAUGUUCUGUGAUUUUUCUGUAUAGACUAAAACAUGUUUAUGACUUUGGGGUACAGCAGAUGGCUGGGUCCUUUGAAGAAGGUAGCCAUAUGCUUAUUGGUAAUGAAGUAAACAUUUUUACAACUUUACUUUUGAGAAAAACAUGUUCCCAAGCAAAUGAAUGCUUAGGAUGGAAACAUUGUUUACCAGUUUAAAACACAGCAAACUGAUUUCUAGUCUUUCCUGUUAAAAUGUAGGAUGAGGGAUCUUUAAAAAGUUCAUUUUGUGUAUUGUAGACUGAUCGGUAGGUUAUUCCUGACACUUAUUGUUGACUUCAGUGUGUAUUUAGAUAGCUUGAAUUUUCCAAGCUAUUUUAUAACUAACAUCAUAGAAGCAGAGAAAUACUCCUUUCAGCUGAGAAUAUUUUAUUGAAAAAAUUCUGCAAAAAGUACUGAGAAGAAUAAUGGAAAUCUGAUCAUAUUGGCUGUCAGUGCUUUGAUUUGGACAUUUUAGGCACCAUGCUCCAUGAAGAUGAGGAAAGUUUUUUAUUCUAAGUUGUAUUCCCAAUUCUGAGAAGAGAUUCUGCAUACAGAGGUACUCAACACAUGUUUAUCAAGUGACAUUAGUCAGCUGUCUAUCACUAUAACACGCAUCUGAAAUAAUCAACUUACAGAGACGAGGUUUAUUUUGGCUCAGAGUUUUGAAGGUUCUAGUCCAUCAGUGGUUGGUGCUGUUGCCUGUGGUGAGGAAAAGCACAUGGCAGAACAAAACCACUUUCUUCAUGGCCAGAGGGCAAAAGAGUAAAAGAAGACACUCCGGUGCCACAGUUGUCUUCUAAGGCUUAUCUCCAAUAUCUUCAAGACCUCCCACUAGACUCUGUUUUAGUGUUUCCACCACCACAUGGCUUUUGGGGUAGACAUUCCAGAUCCAAACUCAAGCAGAAAGGCAGGUUGAACUUCUCCACAAAAUGCUUUGUCGCCCCACCCUUCAUUCCUCGGAGUUCCAAAUAUUACCUAAGUGCUGUUUUACCAAAAACUCCUUCCCUUUGAGAUAAGGCAGUAGGCGUUUGCAAAGUUGUACAAAUAAGAAUAAAUGCCUCACAUACUUUACCCUAAGUUACUGUAUUAGUCAUUUUUGUGUCACCAGGACACAAUAACUGGCGCCCACAAUUUAAAGGAAGAGGGGUUUAUUUUGGCUCAGAAUUUUUAGAGGAAUUGGUUGGCUCCCAGGCAGAAAUGGCAUGGUGGGAGAGCUUGCCAGAAGAAAGCUGCUCCCUGGCUGCUCCCCGACUUUCAUGGCAUCCAGGAAGCAGAAAGGGAAGGGAGGAGCUGGAGAUGAGAGUGCACCAUUCUAAGUCCCUACACUGGCUCCUCUCCCAGACAGUGACCAACCUUCAACCCCACCCCCAUCGCCUGACAGCAUAUUCAGCUAUAAACUCAUCAAUGCAUCAGUCCACCAGGGAGGAUAGCACCCCCAUAAUCCUAUCAUUUUUCAAAGCCUCACCUCUGAUGACAUGAGAGUUCUAGGGACCACUCCAGAGUUAAACCACAAGAGCUCCCCAAGUGGAGUCACAGUAAAGUGAAACAUCCUGGCUGUGGAUCCCAGGCUCCAGGGUGCUGCUCACACAGCCAGGAGAGGAAGCUUGAGCCAGCUGUUUGCCUACUUACCAGAGGCAGCCCUUGUCCUAGUUCCUCCCUGUCGCUCUGGAUCCUGCCAGGAUUCUGGGGAAACGAGUCUUCCUCCUGGACGUUUUAGGUCUGGUGUAUAUCCAGAUUUCAUGGCCUACGAAGGCCCUGUGGGGACUGAUGCCUGGUUUCUAAACUCUGGAGUUAAUGAGGAGCCCUGAGGAAUGCUGGAUUUCUUUGCUGUAAAUGUGCAGAUGUAGGCUGCAGUACUCCUGAAGAGACAGGAGCUGUGGUGCUGUGAGCUGGAGUUUUUGUUUUUUAAGCCAUGGACCAGUGAGUCAGCAGAAAGACUAACCUAAUGGCCCCAUAGCUCAGUCCCGAUUUUGUCAUUAACUGCUCACGGAAUCAUCUGGGCCUCAUGUUUUUUAAGUCUUUAAGCAUCAGUUUCCUAAUCUGUAAAGCAAGAAUAAUAAAUAAUAAAUCCAUCUCAAGUUAGUGUCCAAAUGAGAUAGAGUAUAUGAACGCACUUCGUAAAUCAUGAAUUUGUAUAAAGACAUAUUAUUAUUUUUAGUUAGAUUUUUAAAAAUGAGAGUCAAAUUUUAUUAAGAGCUGUGUCUUUAGCAUUAUCUAAUUUAAUGGGGUCAUAAACAUUCUGUUAGGCAAAUGCUCCACAUGGUCAUUUCAUUACAGAAAUCUUUUAAUAAAAUAGGAAAUUAUAAAGAAGAAAACCCAAAAUACUCAUCAUUCUCCUCAUAUACUAAUUUGUUGGUUAUUACAGUUUCUUUUUUAACCUGGAAGGGGUAUUGGUGCCAGGUAGGUUAAAGUGGUAGGACAUGCGUGUGUGUGUGUGUGUGUGUGUGUGUGUGUGUGUGGCAGCUCAUGUGUCUGUGCUCUGGCACUGACUCUAGUGACAGUAGGGUGUGGGGGUAUCCUCAGAAGGGUACAAAAAGGAUGGACAGCAUAAGCCUAUUAUCUGAAGUUUGGAUUGUGUUCACCUUGGCAGGCGCAUUAAUCAGGGUUCGUCAGAGAAAGAAAAAAGGGGGCAGAAGGCAGAAAGAGAGAGAGAAAGACAGAGACAGAGACAGAGACAUAUAGCCAAUGAUGUAAGCUCCAGUCUAAAACCUAGUAAUCUUUUUUUUGGUCUUUUUUCGUUUUUAUCGGUACCAGGGAUCAAACUCACGACUGCCUGCUUGCAAGGCAGACACUUAUGCCGCUGAGCUAAAUCCCCAGCCCCAAAACCUGGUAAUCUUGAGACCAAAGAAGAGCCAGUGUUUAAAUUCAAACCUCAAAGUGGGAAAAGGCCAUGUCCAUGCUCAAGACAGUAAGGCAGAAGUUUCUUAUUACCCAGCUUUUUAUUCUGUUCAGGCCUUUGAUGAAACGCAUCCCAUUCACAUUUGGGAGUGCACUCUACUUUCUAAAGUCUAACCAGCUCAGAUGCUCGUCUCAUCCAGAAACACCCUCCCAGUCACUCACAUGAUAAUGUUUUACAAACAUCUGAGUGUACUGUGAUCAAGCUAAGUUUACACAAUUAACCAUCACAGCAGAGUGUGUUUCCUUGUCUCAGGCUGGUGCCUCUCAGUUUCUACACUUCUGGAUCCUUCCCCAUGCCCGGGAGGCCCUAGGUGACCAGUUAACCCUGCUAGCUGUUACUGUGAAAGUGAGGCGGUUUGGACAAGGGCAAACCCUGCCGCUGAUAGGAAGGCGCGUUUGAAGCAAAGUGUAGCACUAGAGAAUUCUUCACCCAUCAGGGAUGGACCUGGCUACAGCACUGAGGUCUAGUUCAGUUCAGCUCUGGAGGAAACCACAGGACCCUCUGCUACCGAAUGUCUGCAUGAGUGAAGCUAGCUAAGCCCUCCUGUUUUGACUACACAUUGCACUUAAGAAGAAGGAUGUCUUGAGUUUGGGUGCAAAUUUCUGCAAAGUGACAGGUGGGCCCAUGAGUCCUGGCAGUUUUCUUCUACCACAGCAGCCACACACCAUUCUGAUUCCUCUAGGUCUCUUACAUUUUGUUACUUCCAGGGUGGUCUCCCCUUUGCAUUGAGUGUUCACUGGAUCUCAUUAAUGGAGGCAAAGAACCGAACCUGAGACCUGGGACUGCAAAGAACUAAAUUGGGGAAGCAGGGAAAUGUGGAUGGACAGUGCAUUUCUGCACAGUGCAACAGCCCCAAGGCAGGAAGUACCAUGCGAUGAGCACCAUGCAGGUAGUGCAGAGUACCUAGGGGAAGGGAACCACCCCAACCCGGAGAAGCUCCCCAUUUAAGGGGAGACAGGCGUGGUGAAUAUCUUUGUAAGGUUCCAUAAGGUACAUGAAAAUGCUUUCUAAGUAAUGAUGUUUUAUAAAGAUGUUUUUCAGUUAGAUUUUUAUACUUAUGAAAGACUUCAUAUAACAGCUCUCAGAAAUAUUUGGUUAUUAUUUUAAAAAUUAAUUCUUGGAGAUAGAUAUGAUUGCCCAUUUUUGUAGGUGUGAAACAGGAAAGAAAAACUUGCUUGUUUGCCUUCUGUCUCUGUUUCUUUUUUUUCUCCAUCUGUUUCUCUCUCCCUAUUACUCUUGCCCACUUUUUUCUUCCUUUCUUUGUCCUUCCUUUUUUUUUUUUCUCUAUUUCAUUAAAUAAAUACUUAACACCUCUCACGUAUCAGGGAGCUUCUGUACUCAGUACUGGAAUUCAUUGGGGCAAAAGAUACAGAUCAUGUCUGUCUUCUUAGGCAUCCACAGUCCAGUGGAGGCAUUGCCAGCACAUAACAACAAAGAAAGCAACGCAACUACUAUUAUGAUAGGAAGAUAAGACUAUUCACUAGGGCCUAAGCUGAGGACAGUGAGAAUUAACCUCCAGUCACCUGUCUUUUGUGACUGGGGUCAUAUUUGCUUUGUGAUAAAAAAAGAUGUGAAUACCUUCCUAAGUAAGUUGGGAUCAAGCACUUGAAAGGUAACGAUUUCCAGAACCUAUGACCAUGACUGUAGGAAAAAUCCCCAGGUGAAUAGCAGUGGAAUCUGAAUACUUGAGUGUAAGUUGUGUGUCACUGGCAUUAGCCAAAGGCCUCCCAGCCCAGAGGUAGUCCUUAAGGACACGUGUAAACCAAUCACAGAAUCUUAGAACCAUGUGUUGUAUUAUGUGACCAAGUGCUCCAGGGCUGUGGGGCAUCAGGAAGGGAAUUGUGUGGAAAUGGGAGGGGCUACACAUGUGGCAUUCUCUAGUAUGUGUAAAUGGGAAAUAAACUUGCCUGUGCACCAUCUCUGAUCUCAGAAAUUUAGAUUUUUUUGUGGUAUUGGGGAUUGAAUCCAGGGAUUUCAUGUUGAGUUAUAUUCCUAUCUCUUUAAAAAUAUUUUUUUUUAAAUUUUGAUACAGAGUUUCACUAACUUCUUAAAUUGCCCAGGCUGGACUUGAACUUGCAAUCUUCUUGCCUCAACCUCUCAGAGUUCUGGGAGAAUAGGUAUGUGCCACCACAUCCAGCUUUAGAAUUUUUAUGGAGAAAAUAGGCCUAGAAUUUGUUAACAACGACAAAAAAUGAUUAUUCACUUACCUAUUGGUGUGUUAGCCUUUUGUUGCUGUGACAAAAUAUCAGAUAUAAACAACAUAAAGGAUAACAGAUUUAUUUUGCCUUAUGGUUUCAGAGGUUUUAUGGUCAGCUUACUGCACUGGUUUUAGGCUGCGGGAUAAGAUAUACCCUUCAAAGUCACACCCCUCAGGGAUCUAUCUUUUCCAAAUACUCUCCACCUCCUAACAGUCCAUUGUGCUAUGAACUAAUCAAUGAAUUAAUCCAUUGAUGAGGUUAGUGCUCUCAUGAUCCAAUCAUGUCUCUAGGCCCUCCUUUGAAAAUCGCACCCUGCGGUCUCAGUCUUCAAUACAUGAGAUUUGGGGUAUACUUCAUAUAUAGAUACAACGAUAUAUUAAUUCAUUCAACAAACUAUUGGUUUUGGAGCAUGUAUUUUGAACUAAGGCACUAGGGUAUGUUUUGGAGAUUGAAAAAAAUCAAGAUAUUGUGUGUCUGUUGAGUUUGAGGGUGAGGAGAUAGCACGUGUGUGGCAUUUUUAAUAUUGCUCAGUGUGCUGUGAGUGUUAUGCUUGGGGCCCUAUGGGAAGAGCAAGGAGCAAAGGCAGGGCCCCCUAAUGCCAGUAGGGCAGUGUCAGGAAGAAAAAGUUUCCCUGGCAGAGAGGCAAUUGAAAAGACAGAAAGAAGGUGGGUUAGUAAGGGGUCCUAUUUCCUUACAGGAAAGAGUGUCCUACCCCAGAAGAAUCUGGGCAGUUGAGUGGCCUUGUAAGACUACAGAUGCGGUAAAUCAUGGGGAAACAGGAUAAGCAAUGGCUUUGAGGGGCAGCCUACAAAACAGCAUGAGACAGAGCAGGCUGAUGGACAGCGAUUGCUGCUGAACUGGGACAGAAGCUACCUAGCAACCCUGAGGAAGAACACUUGGUUCUGACUUAGAGGUAAGGACCAGGCUUCACCCAGGAGCCGUUGGGAAAGAUGGGAAAGAAGGUGAGGGCACACUCCGGGCAGAGAACCUGAAUGACAAGGACAUAAAUACAUAGCGUGUGCUUGGCUUUGACUUCAAGCCCCUACUGGUUAGUGGAAAGCUACGGGGAAGCUGCAAAGCUGUCUCGGUCAUACGACCAGAUCCAGAGGGGCAGGACCCUGGUAGAGGUGUGCACAAUGUGUGACAGGUAAGCUGCUUCAGGGGAUUCGUAUAGCAUAUUUCCGAUGUCUGAAUGGUUCAUGCAGGGAUAACCUCUGGUGCUGUGGCUCUGUGCCCUGCUCUGGUUUUAGCUGCCAUGAAGUUAGCAGCUUUACAUCACCAUGACCUUCUUCCAUAUGCUCCUGCCUUGGAGCCAGCUGAUCAUGGACUGCACCUUCUGAAACAAUGAGCCAGAUAAACUCCUUUAACUCAUGUGUGGCAAGUAUUUAUCCCAGCUUUGGUAAGCUAUUACAGCGUGGGACACAGGAACCCUGGGCCAGCUUAUGGGCUAUGGGGGGACAUCUGUCUCACAGUCACCUGCAAAGUUCUUUCCUUGAUACUGGAACAGAGAAAUCCAAAGGUUGAGAAUGGGUGCUGAGCUCCGGUGAAGGAGAGCCCUGGAUCCCUUGUUAUGGGCCUUGAGCUAUCAUAAUAUUCUUUACUGAAACUCAGUUAUUUAACUCUCCUUAGAAUUCUUUGUCCUUCCAAAAAAUUCCAUUUUUCUCACUGAGUAGGUUUUUGGGUUUUUUUUGUAACCAAAAUUUUAUGAAUUAAUAAUAGACUUUUCCAGAACAAUUUCUUGUUCACAUGUGCUGCCAUGGGCUUUAACAUUCCAUGGAGCCUGGAUACUCCGAGGUAUGAUGUAAGCAUGCUCACACUGGAGUAGUGGAGGAGAUCAGAAGCAGAAAGAAGAAGGCAGGGUGGACCUGAUUUCACUGUGGGGAUUCUCCCUUCAAUAAAUGUGACUUGACUCUGGUAGGAUCUGCAUUGAGUAACCCAAAAACUCUGGUGACAAUGAUUUAUUUGCAUGCAUAUCAUCUUGUGCUUAUUUCUAAAAUACUUUUCAGAAUGCAUUUUAGAAAUUCUUACUGGUCAAGGGGCAAUGUUAGCCCUCCCCUGGACUCAGCAGAAAGCUAGGCAUAACAUGCAUUUGGCUGCAUUAUACAUUUAAUUAAUUUGCACAAGAAUAUUUCAAUUGCUUUCUCCCUCAUAUGAAUGAAAUCCACAUGAUUUCCAAUCUGUUUCUAUGGUUUCCUUCCUCUGUUCAGUUACAUUAAUCAGGCUGUCAGUUUAUUAUGGAUUUUGGUGUCUUUUUUUUCCCCCUUCAAAUUUGAGUCCAUAUUAAUUUAGUUUUCAUUUCAACAGUGUUUAAAAAUAGAGCAAAAUUAUUUUGACUAGCACACAAUCAAGCCUCUAAAUGUUUAAGGAGUUUGUCACAGCGGUCUAGGUUUCAUUGCUUUUCUCUUGCCUUAAAUGAGAUAUGGCUGUGAUUCAUUUUGCCUUGCAGCACGGUGUGUCAGCUUGUGUCUCCUCCAUGAUAAUUUUACUUAACACUCUUGGUUGGUUGGUUACCAGUCUCUUAAAAUACAUCAGCUUCUCCUUGGGAUUGGCCUUAGCGAAUGUACUCCCAUGAAGAAAUUUAGUUAUGCCUUUUUUAUUUGGUUGUUGAAAAGCAUAGUGCCAGAGCCCCUUUCAGACACUGAAAGCCAUCAUUUAAUACUGCUCUGAAGAGCUGAAGUCCAAGACCUGACCUUGAGCUAUGCUGCCCCUCUUCCAUGUGACAGAGGUGGGUGUAGUACUCUCACAGCAGUGCUGCUGGCCUCAGUCCAAGUUUGUUGAAUGCCCAGCUGGGUGUAGAGGUUACAGGCAUGAACUUUGGAGUCAGGCUAGGCUGCUGAUCUCUCUUUCUGGAUAUGUAUGUUGGUCUGCUUCUUAUCUUCCUCUGUGAGCUUCCAAUUCCUCACUUGUAAAAUGAGGGUGUUAAAGAUCUAUCCCUGAAGGUUGCGGUGAGGAUCAGGGGAGAUGACAGGCAGAAAGCACUUAGUAAAAUUUUCCAACAACAGUAGCUAUUACCAUCUUGAACACUUCCUGCUUUAGCGUGGAUGUUGAAUGUCUCCCAAAGGCCCGUGUGACAAAGGUUUAGUCCUCAGGGUGGUGCAUUUGGGAUGUGGUAGAACCUUUAGCAGGUGAAGCUUAGUGGAAGGUCCUUAGGUUAUUGCGGAUUUGCCUUUGAAGAGGAUUGUAGGAUCAUGACACCUUCUUCUUCUUUUGCUUCCUGGCCAUGAGAUAACCAGCUUGUUCUGCCAUGUGCUCUUUACCAAUGCUGUCCAGCACCCCCACUAGAAGACUAAAAGCAAUAGCUCUGCCUAUUCGUAGACUAGAAUGUCUAAAACUAUGAACCAAAAUAAACCCUUUGGCUAUGUAAGUUAAUUAUCUCAGAUAUUUUGUGAUAGUGACAGAAAACUGAUGAAAGCACCCCACCUUAAGGGCUCCCAAUUUCUAGAAUUUCUGUUGCUUGCGUGACCUGCACUUGUUGAUUUCCUGUUUUAAAAAAUAAGUACCUAUCGGGUGCUGUGUACUUAGUUGAAUACCUUGUUGGGUACUUACUUGGACUGUUUGUAUUUUCGCAGUAACCCUGUGAAGAAAUUCCUCAUACUCUCAUUUGAUACAGGAGGCCCCUGACAGUCAGAGAUUGAACUAAGAUCAAAUGGCUAACGAGCGCCAGGAUUGGGAAUUAGUUCUGGUAUUUGCUUAGUUGCUCAGGUCUUUUUUUUUUUUUUUAAUUUAACGUUUGAGGAUCUUAAGCUACAUUGGUUCCAAUUCUACAGUGACUGCUUUGAGUGUAGGAGCAAAGUAUAAUAUUUCUUUGAAUUCCCACAGUGCCUGGAAUAACUGAUACAUAAUUGUUGAUUGAUCCCCUCAGAAUGCCUUGAAUCAGACACCUGACCGGUCUUGUGACAAGUUUUUCUUUUUGAGAGCCUUCAUAUCCAUGAGUUAGCUCCAGGACACAGGGAUGAAAGCGAGUAUUAUGUGUGAGGAUAGGCUUGGGUAUCAAGUCUGUAACCGUGGAAACCUGCUUUGCCAGGAACAGUGAGCAUGAGUCAAGAUCAUGGCUCAAGUUCUUAAUACUUCUCAACCUUCUGUGCCCUCUGUACACAGAGACAGGCAGUCAGCAUGGAUUAAAGAGCCCCAGUCAACCCCUACCUCUUAAUAUUUGGUCACUGUACAGAAGUGGGCUACCAGGUACGGAAGAUUAACUGGUCUGGAUUAUCUACCCGGCAGAUUAGCUGGCCCAAGGUAGCACAGCUGAGUAUCCCUCAGCUGAGUGGAGAUCAUGGGAGGUCAGGGCAGUGGAAGGUUGCUGCAAAGGAAAGGUCUUGAGAGAGUUCUAUUCUCUGUCCUGUUGUAUGAGUGCAUUAGUCCGCUCAAGCUGUCACACCAAGAUGCCACAACCUGGUGGUUUAAACUACAGGAAUGUAUUGUGAUUCACACCUCCAGGGCUGGAGAGGUUGGUAGGAUUGGUGUCUUCUAAGGCUUCUCCUUUUGGCUUGUAGUUGACUGUCUUUUUCCUGUGUCCUCACAUGGCCAUUCUUCUAUGUUUUUAUCCUAAUCUCUCAUGAAGACACUAGUCCUAUUGGAAUUGGACACAACCAUAUGACCCCAUUUAUCUUAAUCAUUUCUUCAAAGGCUCUACUACAAAUGCAGUCACAAUCUGAGGUUCUGGGAGUUAGGGCUUGAGCAUAUGAAUUUAGGGGGAUAUAAGCUAGUCUGGAUCAGUGAUAUUCGUUGCUACACAAAGAGGGCUUAUCAUGGAUAUACCAGCAGUCACUUUGAUAUUAUCAAAGACACUUCUCUCCCAUCAUGGCUGAUGAGCUAUAAAAAGGGGGUUUCUCCAUAAACUUUUACUUGGGGGCCAGUAUGACAGAGUCCGGGGUGAUGGGAGCAAGGGAGCUAAAUACUGGACAGAGCGAUAGUAUCAGGAAGUAGCUAUUAUAGUGGCCAUUGUAAUUAAUUAUAACAUAUAUAUACAUAUUAUAUAUAUAGUAUUUAAAUUGUAUGUCUAAGGACUAUGGUAUAUAUACAUAUAUGCAUAUAUAUGUAACACAUAUUCAGAGACUACAGUAUGUAUGUGUGUGUAUACAGUAUAUAUGUAGUAGUAUGUAUCAUAGGAUAGUUACACAGCUCCUGGUCCCUGAGGACACCCUUUUUUCCUGAUCACAACCGUUUAUUAUAUCCUAGACAUGAUUUUACAUUACUCCUAACUUCUCAGUGUUGCAGCCUUUUUAAAGCUUUUCAUCCACCAAGUUUACCUCGUUUUACAGGAAUGACAGCCCCCAGGAAAAGCACAGAUUAGAUCGGCACAGGGAGCUAUUAUUUCAGCUCCCUGGGGAUUCACAGCUGUGAAAAGCCAGUGCAGCCCUACUUAUUUUCUUUAAAUCAACAAUGACCUAAACAAAUGAACCCUAGUGCCCAAGAAAUUUAGCGGCAGUCAGUGCUCUGAAAACUGAAAGACAGGGGCCAGCAUGAAAAUUUGGUGGCUCCCAACAGCUGAAGCUGCAAGCCAGAAUUCAUUGAUUUGUCCAUGUAGCCCUCCAGAGCUCAGGUUUCUCACAGAUAUUACCAAAUUGUUUAAAUGCAAAUGCUGUAACUUUUUCAGUCUCCCUAGAGAGUUUAACUUUAUCAUGAGACUGAAGUUUGUGGGCCCAUUCCUCAUUUAACAUUUUCAAGGCGAAUGUCACUGCAAUGCAGUGCAUUUUUUGGAGUUCCUAACAGGAAUAAGGCAGUGGCACUUCUAAAGAAUUCCUCAAGCAAAGGAGGAGUCAGAGUUCUCAGCAGCACUCAGAAGCCAGGAGGAAAGUGUGAUGUAAGCAGAUGGAAGAAUUUAAUUCUGAUAUGUGCAUAGGGAAUAAUCAAUGAAACAUCUUUUCCUUUUGGAAAGGAUAUGGGAAAUAGGUCUUCCCAGAUUUUAUCUUUUCCUUUGUUUGAAACUGUUCUUUGUAAUGGCAGAUUAUGGGGGCUCCAGGAAGGGAGUAUACCCAAAGGCAACACUUUGACUUUAUACUUGAGAGCAGUAUAAUGCAGGCAAGCAGAAUAGGAGGUUUUGAGGCAAAGGUGCAUACAGAUGUCAAAACUAUAAUGAACCGAAGAAGUGAGGCAGGAAUCCCUUGUGAGUGGAUUGUUUUUGAGGGAGCUUCUCAAAGAAUCAGUGUUUACCCUCCAAUUAUCACAGAACAGGCACCAGGUGAAGUGAUUUAAAACAAAUGAGUGGGAAUAACUGGCUGAAACACCAUAGCAAGAAAUAAUACACUGGCCCAAACGGUGAACUGACCAGCGUGAAUAUGACUUUUUCUAGACAGUGGUAUAUGCAUUUUUAAAAAUUUAUUUAUUUAUUUUGCACUGGGAAUUGAACUCAGGAUCAGUACAGGCAGGUGCUGUGCCACUGAGCUAUAUUCCUGGCCCACUGGUGUUUUUAUAUUACCAGAUGGGCAUUUCUCUAAUUUUUUGUGUUAUUAAAUGUUUUUGCUUACUUUCUGGAUUAUUGAAGAUUUUAGGUAGUUUUAGAUUUUAUUGUCUUUGUUAUGUUUUAUUUUCAAUUUGCUUUUAGCCUAUUUUGACUCUUUUACUUGCUGGUCAAUGUUUUCAGGGAUUCUUAAACUUUCAUAUUUAGCUGUUAGUAAAAGGUCCAUCUUUUUUUAAAAAUUGGUUAAAAAUACAUCUUUGUUAUGUUUUAUUUUCAAUUUGCUUUUAGCCUAUUUUGACUCUUUUACUUGCUGGUCAAUGUUUUCAGGGAUUCUUAAACUUUCAUAUUUAGCUGUUAGUAAAAGGUCCAUCUUUUUUUAAAAAUUGGUUAAAAAUACAUUUCUAGUAACUUCUCAGAUUUCUGCACCAUUGUAAAACUCUUGAUUUCACAUAAGAAUAAUCUUGUCCACUUUUAAAGUUGCUACUAGUUUUAAUUGUUAGUUCACUUUUAUUUAAUAGGAAAACAAACUGUCCCAGUUCAUGUAGGACUCAUAGUUUUCUGGAACAUGGAACUUUCAGUGCCCAAACUGAAGAGUGUUGGACAAUCCAAGAUGGUAUCAUCCUUUAUGGCAAUGGCCGAUGUGGCAGAGAUGAUUGGUGUCCCCUACAUGUUGUGCCCCAUUCUUUUCAAGAUCAGAACACAUUUUCUAGUCUUCCUUGCAUCUAAGUGCAGCUGCUUGAUUUUGUUAAUGGUCGCAAUGUGAGAACUGAUGCAGAAGCAAGCAUGCUGUUUCCUACAUUUUCUUAUAUGAUCUAGAUUUCAACAUGCAGGGCAACUUCGGGAAUGCCAGCUAUUGAAGAUGGCAGAGUUCUGGGCAACCUGAGUUCACAAAUGACUGCAUAUGAUCUAGGACCCACUGUCCAUCUUGCUACCACUGCCAUGCUGGAAUAUGGAAACAAUAUAACUCCCAAAAUGAUAGAGGUCAGAUGCACUAAAUUUCUAUUUCUCAAAAUCAAACAAUGAAUUCUAGGGAACAGUGAAGGCUAAAAGUAGGAAAAACUUUAUUGAGAUUGGUAGCUCCUGAAAGACAAGAUGGGCCUGAAAGUGGGCAAGCCCACUUCUCAAAGGAAGUUUUAUGGAGCAAAAUCACAAGGUAGGUACAAUGUGGGUCAAAACUAUGAUUAACCAAUAGGAUUACAGAUAUAGCCACUUAGAUAAUAUUGAACCAAUAGAGAAGCAAGUCAUAUAGCAAGCAUACAUACAAAGAACAAAGAACUUCUUUAGAAGGGAUGGAUGGGGCAGAGAAUGUCUUGGUCAGUCACUGGGGUGACUGCUGUCUAUAUGGACUUUAUUGGAUCAGGUGGUACCAAUUAUCUUAUCCCAAGGAGGCCUUGGUCAUUAUUUCUUUAUCUUGAGGCCUGGCCUCCAAUAGAUGCAUCUCUGGCCACAGCUGUAAUGUGUUCUCAUCCUCUGCACUGACUCCUUUUGAGGUCUAGUCUGUUCUGAUUGCCUAUAAUAUUUCUACCUAACCUAGCUUUCUAUAAUAAUGGGAUUUCAUACUAGAAAGAACCCAGCUUCUAUUGGAUUAAACCCCUGAGAUGUUAAGUUCUGUUCCAGCAGUUAGUGUUACAAUUAAUAUAUCCAGUUUUAAGGCAUAUUUUUAAUAUUUUGAUUAUAGUUUUUAUCAUAAUAAAAAACUAGAGAGGUAAAACCACUAUUUUUGCCAUUCCAUGAAUUUCUGUAGCCGCCACAUAAGUGUUUGCUGUUGGAUUUGAAGCUGAAGUAAAAAACAAAAUAAAACAAAAACUGAAACUCCAGAAAAUAUUCACAAAACAAGAAGUACCCAUGAGGAAGGAGUAGCCAUGCGGAGCAGGCCCCCUGGAUGAUUUCCUGUCAGAGACGGGCUGGAGUGUAAGCAGGAAAUGAAAUCACCAAUGGCCCUGUUUUCCUUCCAUUCUACUGCAGCAUAAUGAAUUUUUAUCCCAAGCUCAGAAAAACUCUGUGUUAUGCUUGUUGACUCCAAAUCUAGAAUUUCAACAGAAAGCUAAGCUGGGCUGGCAGCUCUGUAAACAAGAGCAUCCAUUAGCAUUUCACUUACCGUUUUUAAAGAUGUAGGGGUACUAAUGCUUACCUGUGUGAAUUAAAUAAGACAAUACUUUAAAAUGCCUCGCAAUACACGGCACCUAGUAGAUUCUCUGUAAAUCUUAUUUUCCGUCUUCUAUUGCAAAAACAAUAGUUUUAAUAUUACCCCUUUUGUCUACAGGAUGCUGAUGUGCCAGGGCAGCAUGUCAGUUUGUGCCUUCUGAAACGGGCAAGCAGAGUCGUUUAAAUCGAUUUGUCUCCAGCAGACUGUUUUAAUUUCACUGAAUUGUGCUGACGUGGAGGAGAGAGAUUAGCUGCAGUGUCAUUUAACGCCAGGGAAGCACAAGAUGGUGACUGGUUACCAAGGAGACCCACAACAAGAUGGCUACUGUGGGUUACAUGGUGAGAGAGCACAAGACGGUGACUGGUCAUCAUGUGACCUGCAACAAGUUGGCUGCUGCUGAUUCCAUGAUGAGGGACCACAAGAUAGUGGCCAUUUACCCCGUGACCUGUUACAAGAUGGUGGCUCACUGUCACAUGGUGGAGGACUACAAGAUGUCGGCUCUUCUCCAUGUGAGCUGAAGCAAGAUGGCUGCUAAAGACCAUGUGGUAUGGAAUCGCAAGAUGGUGAUCAAAUACCAAGUGGCCUGCUAGGUGGCUGAAAUGCGUGAGACUGAGUAUGCAUUGUGACUGCAGUCCAUGGAGUGAAAAAAAGGCUCAAAGUACCCUAUGUUUUAAGUCCUGAAAACUUCCCACUGCCAGGCAAGCCUGCUCCCAACUGGGCUUGCUAACCUCUGCCCCCGUGAAAUAUCUAUAAACCAAGGUCGGAGGAAUGGAGUGGAAAGCUACCUUUUGGGGACUGCUGAACAGGCAGAAACAAGACCAGUGUGCACUGUUUGUUCUCUAAUGAACCAGUCCAGAGACUAAUAAAUAUUAAUCUCCAAAAACUGGACAACGGAAUGAUAUAAGGAAUCAGAAUUUUGCCUUAAAGAAAGUUUUGCCUCUGCUCACAGUGGUUCCAUAUACUUGCUACAGAAACUUCCCAUGGAAAAGCCUAUGUUGAAUUGUCAGAAGCAAGAGAGGAGGAUACAGAAAAAAAAGGGCAAGGUAAAUUUAAGUGGAUAAAGUGUACACAUUUUGUAAAGUCAGUGACAUUUUUAGGUCAGAGGUUUGAAAACUGUCAUAGGGAUUCUUGGCAAUGUAGGAUGAUGCUUUAAGCAACAUGGCUGGAUUCCUCUGCCUGUUUGCCUUUCCUUUUUGCCAUUAGUGGAAAUAUAUGGCUUUGCUGAGAAUCAUCAGAGCAAUAUGUCAUUUCCAUUCCUCAUACAAUAGCACACAGUAUAAUUUAGGCAUAAGAAAAAUACUUAUUCUCCAGAAUUGGUAAAAUGGCAGCAAAGCGAUAAUCCCUGAGUGCUUUCCCUCAGGUCUGCACCUGAACAUAUCCCUUGGCAAAAGCCACUGCUUUGCAAAACCCCCUCCCUUUGGCCCCAUGUCCUUUGGGAACCCUAACCUGUAUGUUCCAGCCACUGGGAACUACCAUCAUUUUCAAAUACAGUGGACUCACAUAUAAUCCUGAGACUUUCUGUUGUACUUUCAAUCUCCGUCCGCUAAGAGAGAUACCUUCCUGCUGAGAGAGAUCACCUGCCGUCUUCUGAGACAAGGUUCAAGGUGAUACUGUGGUCCCUGUUUUGAAAAACAGCAGGCCUUAUCUUCUUUUGAAGUCCUGUAAGGGCUCCAAUGUUUAGGUUUUAUUGGUUUUGUUCUGUACUGUUUUGUUCAAUUUUAUUAUACCUGAUGAUAUAGGCAAUUCUUUUUAAGAUAGCAAGAAGCAUUAUGAUAACCAUUGUUGAUCACCUGGUAUUCUGUUUUUACAUCAUGUACUAUGUCCAUCCUUUUGUUUUGACUGACUCUAUUUUGUUUUGUCACAUUUGGUUUUAUUCUCUUCAAAAAAAAGUAAUAAAAACUGUAGAAGUAAUAAAAUCCAAAAUGUGUAAUUGUUACUGGAAAAAAGAGAGGAAAAGAAAGUGCUCUAAAGGAUAUAACUGCAUGUAUAUUUAAGUGUGCAGGGUAGAAAACCAUAUUAUUAAGUUUUUGUUAGAUCACUGAACAGAACUGUCUGCAAUCUCACUGUUUGAAUGUCCACUUUAUAUGCUUUAAUUUUGUAACUUGAACAAGUUACAAAUUUCUAAGAUGACAAUAUGUAUUCUAUUAACUAGUGUUUCUUACUGUUUGCUUUUUUGAAAUUCUGUAUUACUUGUACCCUUUUACUGUUUUGUUUUUUUCUCUUUAAAUAAAAAAAAAAAGAAAAAAAAAAAAGAAAAACAGCAGACCCUCACUGCAGAGACACACAGCUCCGAGAGAAACUGCUGAGCACGGGGCAGGGAUAUUUUCAGCUUUCAUAUACUUCCAAAUAUUUUCCAAACUGAUGAUAUCAAUGUAUAAUUCUACCAGGAAUUGAUAACUAUUUUAAUUGCUCUGCAUCUCCACUAAGAGUUAAUAUUGCCGUUGUUUUUAAUUUUAGGAAUUCUGGUGGACAGUGGUAUGUAUUUGUAUUGCCCUGAUGAUUGAUUAUAUGGAGCAUUUUCCUAUGGGUUAAUUGGUUUUUUUUUUGGAAUUUUCUUGUCUUUAUAUAUGCAGAUUCAUUUCUUAGAUAUAUGCAUUGCAAAUAUCAUUAUCCAGUCUGUACCUCAUCUUUUUAGUGUUUUGGUGUUUUCUUUUGAUGAACUGAUAUUCUUAUUCUUAAAACAGUGAUUUCUGUUUUUUUUCUUUCAAGUGUAGUACUUUUGUUCCAUUUUAAAAAGAACUCUUUUUCUAUCCCAUCUAGUAGCCCAUCUGAAAUACAGUGAGAAGGGCAGCCCAGAAAAGAAUUUGGUCUCUAAGGACUCUGAACUACUGCAAGGAGGAGAGAAAAACAGACAUCCAGCUUUAUUAAGCUACUAUUUUUAAGCCCUGUGAUCUCCACUUGAACUGAAGUUUAUAAAAUCACUUACAAUAAAUAAACAACAGACAUUUUGCAGAAAUACCCAUUUAUAUGUUUAGAGGAGUUGUGUUAGUUACAAAAUCUUUACUUAGUGCUUUAAAAUAUAUAUCUUCUAAAAUAGAUUAUCAAGAAAAUUUUAAGUUGAUUCAUACAUGUAAACACAAAUAUAUCAAAAAUAGUAUUUAUUUAUUUAUUUAUUUACACAGGGCCUUUGUACUGAGCUAUAUCUCCAGCCCUUUUUAAUUUUUUACUUUGAGAGUGGGUCUUGGUAAGCUGCUACAUUGCCCAGGCUGGCCUUGAUCUUGCAGUCCUCCUACAUCAGCCUCCUAGACUGCUGGGAUUACAGAUCACAGAAAUAAUAGUGCUAUCUAAUGAUAAUGUGAAUAUUUUCCAGCUGAAGAAUGUUUGAGGGAUGUUUCAAGGGUCUACUUUGUUUACUACAGGAGCAGCUCUUGGAAACACGUGGGAAGUGUCACAGGGAGACAAAACAGAAAGGGACUGAGCACCUCGCAGUGCGAGGAAUGACCUGGGAGAUGGAUCUGAAAAACAAUCCAGUAAGACAGAAGAGCAACUGAGAAAAUCAAGGUCAUGUCUGAGGACUGGGAGCUCAGGCUGACAGCUAGUGAAACUCGUAACCCUGAAGAAAAGGCCAGAGAGAGCACCACGGCCAUGUGCAAAGCUUUCUGUUUACACAAUACAGUUGAGUACCUGUGACUCUUCCCUUGAUGGAUUCACUGAAGUGGAGUGUGAAACUGGGGCAAUAGCAGGUGAGUUUUUACAUCUACUUGUGUUACGGUUUAUAUCUAGAUAUCCCCCAAAGGCUCAUGCAGUCAGAGCAGAGGAGUUUUGGAGGGGCCAGGAUUUAGGGUGUGUGAAUGUGGAUUCAGGGUGUGGUACUUGCAUUAAGGGUGUGGAUAAUGAGAGCUCCACCCUAGCUUUGGUUGGCCCCAGUCAAUAGGCUUGUAGCCUGGAUAGAAUUUAAAGGAACACAAAGAAGGCAGGCUUGUCGUUUACUGCUUCUGCCUGCCAUGCCACAGACUGUUUCUUCUCUGCAGUGCCCCUCUGCCAUGCUGUCCUGCCUUGGAGACAGCUGACUACAGACUAAAACCUCUACAAACUUUGAGCUGAAAUAAACCUUUCCUCCUUUAACUUUGGGUCUCAGGUAUUUUGUCUCAUCAAUAAGAAAACUAAAUAUCAAAGAUUUUGUUAGAAAAUUAAUGAAAACAUGAUAGAAGUCAAUUGAGAUACAUUUCAUAAUUUUCUCUAAAACUCCAUAUUCUAAUUUAGAGAAUGCGGGUGAAUACCCAUGGCUGUUCCUUGGAUGCACUUACUGAAGUAGAGUGUGAAACUGGGGAUGGAACAGGUGAAUUUUUCAGUCUAUUUGCAAACAUGUGCAAAAUGCCAAUUCCAUGUUAAUUACAACAUAAAGCAACCUCAAUAGUUAAAAUUGUCCUUCAUGAGGAUUAAUGAAUAUACUUGAUCUCUGCCUGGAGCUUCUGGAACGAGACUCUGAAAGAUUAUUUGUUCUGAACCAAACGGGGAAAAUAUUGUACAUGGAAAACAAAAUGAAGAGUAUAACAUUUAUAAAUGUAUUGACAUUAAUUUAGCUACUAUCAAUUCUUCCAUAAUAUCAAUCUUCCUUUUAGGGGACAUGAUCAAAACUGGCUUUAAAUUGCAAAAGAUCUGUGACUAAGAUAACAUCUCUAAUAAAAAUGGGAGAAAAAUAAACACUUCAUUAUACCACAUCUGUAUUUGGCUCUCGGACUCGAAAAUGCACAUAACAUGUAUUCAAAUAUUUCCGCUCAGUGAUGAGUUCUACAGUGCACAAUCAUGUCUGCUCAUUGCUGAUUUUCAAGCUCCUGUAUUAUCUUAGUCAUUAAACCACAGUAAGUUUAUCUUUCCAAAAUGCUGAAAGGCUCCACAAAUGUGUUCAAUGCCCAAAUCAAAAUAUAUAAGGCUUCAUAAAAUUGAAACUACUAAGAAACUAGAGACACAACAACAUUUAGGUGGGGCAAUACACAGGGUGUGACACGUCUUCCCAGGCAGAGCAGUGAAGCAUGCAUGACAAAUCCACAUGGUGGCUGUGGGGCAGCUACAGUGGCAAUGCCUUGCAAUCAACACGCCUGGACUUUCCAGUCUGCAAAACGCCCAUGAUCUACAUGACCCUUUUUUGGAAACCAAAAUGUAUCCAGAGUCCCAGAGCAUCAGCUGGGGCAAUCUGGGGCUGACUUCAGGGCAGUUCAUAGAAAUGGCAGCUGAAGGAGGGAGUAUUAAAUGGCCUUUGGAAGCGCUGGGCUAGCAGGAGGACAUGAGCAUGGAACGAAUAGGUCAUCUGAGUCACUGGGAGAAUGGAGCAUAAAGCUAAGGAAAACAGAGGACAGAAUCUGAAGACCUGGUAAAGUGAACAAAUUUAGGGACUUCUGUCAACCAUAAUUCACUUUUUUUUUUUGUCCCAGGUUGUGAUGUGCUCCUGGGCUCAAAUCAGCAGCGCACAAGGUUGAGGGCUGGUGUUCUCUCUUUUCCACAAACACAGGAUUCCUUGGGAGCAUUGCCCAGCCCCUAGGAGACACUCCGUGUAUCACUUUGACUGAUCUUUGAGCAUCUGUGCUUUGAGAAGCAUGAAAGAAUACAAAGCUGCAGAGCAUUCUUGCAGUCACUGGCAGUCUGAUGGGGGAAAAGUUAAUGACUGUCCUGAGUUUUGCAGUGGAACAAUUUCGGGCCAAAAUUAGGAACAUUGUGCCAAAGAGCCCAAAACAGACAAGUAAUUCUUUGACUACUUUCUAUUGGCAUUUUCAAAGGCUAGGUACCCUUAAGAUUUGUCAUAUGUUCUUAGACAUAUAAUCUUUAAGUUCCUAGCAUCUUUUAUGAGUAUGACCAAAAUCUUAAUUUGAAUGGACACAUUCACUUACACAUGAUGGGAAUUUCACUAGUAUUACAUGGCACACUUGGUAUUUUUUCCUGGCAUAAUUAUUGUUUUUCUUUUAUCCUGUUUAUAAAAAUUUCUCCUUUUAUUCACAUCACUUAAGAGUGCAAAACGUACAUCAUAGCUUGAUGUUAUUCUCAUCAGAUUUCUGGAUAAACAACCCAAAAUUCUGAGCGCGUGAAUUAAAUUCAUUUUUCUUAGGAAGAAUCAUGACACUGAGAAUUCCGGGAGAACACAGGAAUUUGACCUCUUCAGAAAUCAUAAAGGAAAAGUCCAUCUUUCCUGGAAAUCUAAAAAAAGCUAAUGGCAACUGGAAAAAUUUCACUCAAACAAAGUCAUCCAUUGCAGGAGCUCCCAGCCAUGCCAUGCGCCCCGUGCUGGAUGGUGAUAGAGGAUCCAGUCAGUGGAUGUAGAGUCGAGGAUCCAUAAAGUUGAAGAAAAGAAGAUGGUGCCCAACCAUCCAUGUGCCCUCUCCUGCCCCGGACAUGGGCAUUUCUCGGAAGGCAGUGGAAUAAAAAGCAGCCACUGCCUGUUACCCCAGACUGUUCACCAUCACUUACUUCUAGACAGUUCACAGCACAGAGAAUGCAGAUCGAUUGUGAUCAGGCCUCACUUCAGGAUUAACCAGAGGAAACCAGAGAAGGUGCCCAGUCCCUCUUCCCCUCCUCCCUUCUUCCUCCUCCUCCCUGUCCCUCUUUUUCUCUCCCCUCCACCCCAGGAUUUUUUUUUUUGGUUUGGUAUCAGGAAUUGAAGUCAGUCCCCAGUGUGGUGACGUGGGAGGUAGUGGGACCUGUAAGAGAGGGGGAGAUUAAGAAGCAGCUGGGUCUCUGAGGAUGCUGUGCACAGAAGGGACUGCUACAGUCUCAUGGGAUCCCACUUUGCUCUCCAAGCAGUACAGUAUUACUAAACAGCAGGCCUGGUCUCUCCCUUUGUGGCAUCCUCUCAAGUGCAAUCUCUUCCACAUCUGCCACUGCAAUGCCAUCCACCCUGAGGCCCUUGCUGAGCUGAUACUGAUAUUUUAAUAAUCCUUUUAGAGCUUCUAUAUCAGACAUAGACACACAGCCUCCUCUGGAUUUUUCUUUUAGAUGAUAGAGAAAAACAAAAUCUUUCUUGUUUAAUGAGUAUUUUUCUUUAUUAUUUAUAGUCAAACACAUUUCCUAACUGAAACACACACAUUGUCUCUUCUCUGUCUCUGUCCCUGUCUCUCUCUGUGUCUCUUUCACCAGAGGCACCACUAAAAAAUGAGAUAGGAACACAACUACCACAUAUUUAAAGUGCAAAGAAAGAGCAAUGGUGGGCAUUGAUCCCUACUGCACUAAGAGAAAUUCCAACUCAGAGACUGCAAUUAAAAUAAUGGAGAGGAAAAUAUCCCAAACUAAAUGACCAAUUUUGUUUCCUAGAGAGGCGUUUCGUUGUGACCCAGAGGACUGAUUUGAGAGCUACAAAUUAAGCAAAGCUUCAGGCGAGUCUUUUGGAAAAAUCAUUCUUAAAGAAAUGUAGCCUCUGGGCCAAACAGAGGAAUAAACAUGGUGCACAGAGAGACUCAGAGUUCAAGAAGCUCUCCCUGGUUUGAGGAAUGCAAGAGCUGCAGGGAACAAGUGCAAGUAACUGGAGCAUUAUUCUCAUGAUUACUAAUGGUUCUUAAUAACUAAGCGGCAACAUUAGGUCUCUGGUUGGCUGAAAUGCUCACAAAUUGCUCACUACAGUUAUUACUAAUAACUAAAUAUAAUUUGACACUAAAUUACAAUUCCAGAUAUUUCCCUGCAGCCCCUUAUUGCAAAGGAAAACCAAGCCAGUACAUCAAUAAAUAGAAUAAUCCAAUUUAAUGUCUCUCCAUUUGGGAACCAUUUAGAAUUGAGAGUAACAGAAUGGUGAGAUCAAGAUAGAACAAUCCAGUAUUUACUGAUUUAAAAAAUCAGAACACUUUCUAUAAGACAAUUAUCUUUGGUUAUUUGAAAAUAAGUGUCAGUCAGUCUGAAUGACUUUGAUGUAGUGAUUUUAAUCAUGAUAAAUUCUUUCUAGACAAAAGGUGUCAUUUUUAAUACUUGCAUUUUAAAAUUAAAUGUAAGUACAUGUUUAUGUUCAAAGUGUCUUUGUAAACACAUUCCCAAUCACUUUUUAUGACAUAUAAUGAUCACCUAUUAGCCAGGAAUUACAUAUACAGAAAAACGGACAGAUAAAAACGAUCUACAUUCCUUCUAGCUACAUUUGAGUGGAGAAAUGACAGCUAGAUUGCCUGGUAAUAGUUUAUGUUGGAGUUGUUGUUAACACAUUAGCAGGAUUUUGUCAGAGACGGGUGUGUCCUCUAUAAUGGGAAGGGAUGAUAUUUGCCUGCAGAGGCAGAAACACAAGCGAAGAAUUUUUUCCCCCAAGAUGUGUUGGAGGUGUUAUCAUAGAAACAGUGGCUGUGCUCUGAGCUUUCCAUCAGCAGAAAUUAGAGAGAUACUCAAAUAGCAUGGUAAUGGCGUUCUUUGGAGAAUGUGUUCCUAAAGUUUCUACAGGCAGCUGAUGAAGCCUGGUGUACAUCCCUCAGGUCGAAUUUCUACAGGAAUGGAGUGAAAUCAAGGUACAAUCAAACUCUCCAGGAAAAUAGGCCCCGAGUUAGAGGUUCUUGUGUUGUGUUCGCUGCAAGCAUUUCUCUGGUGACUCCUGUGUGCUUACUAUUAAAGUGUGUGCUCUAUAGAUGCCUCCACGGUACUGGCCCCUAGUGAGACUAUUACAACAAAGCUGAAAAGAUACUUACUACUGGUGGAUGACAGGUGGCUGUAGUCGGACCUGAAACACAAAACCUCAGUAUUAGCAAGAUUGUAUAACGUUUUUCUUUAUCCAAAUGAUUUAUUCAAACUAGAAGUUUAAAAGUCGGUGGUGAGUAGCAUUUAACUAGUAAAAUAAGGGUCACCAAUUAAAAAUUUAUACCAUAGUGCAAACAAAAGUUAUGCCUGAAUUUUAAAGCAAAACUUUUAAAGGCAUUUUAGUAUUGGGGGACUUUGACAUUGGCUAUGUGAGUCUGCUGGAUUCUAAGUCUGUUGGCAAAUUUUCAAGUGCUUGUCUAUUUUUCUGGAAAAAAGACCCAAAGUUUUUAACAGAUCUAUGAUUCCCAAAAGGUAAAACCACUGCAAAUGAGCAUACCUCAAAUGUUCAUACAAGUCACGAGAGAAUGUCUCUUUGCUGAGUCAGCAUUGUCAGAGGGCACAGAGAGAACCCGGGCCACCAGGGCACACACAUUUUAGGUGUGGAUGGCCAGCAGGGAGCCCAGAGGCAUAGUCCUAUUUUAACACAUCUCAGUAUCAUUAAAAAGAAAUCGGCUGAAUAUCAGAGCACAGGUUGUGGGCUGUAUAUGGGAUUUUAGGCUGAAACACCAGUGGAGGCACUGAGCUAGGAGAUGGGCCUCUGGCCAAAGACCAGCCUUGCUAAUCUCUGAUGAGUUUCUGCCCUAUUUGCAGGGUUGCUAAACUUCUUUCUCUGGCAACACAUUGGGUGUAGAAGCUAUUUAUUUUCUUCCCUACCGGUGGUGUCUCAAAGUAAUUUUCAGUAGGAAAUUAAUCACUUGGGCAUGUAAAGAUUUAGUCUGCCUGCUAGUGAGGGGAUGUAGUUAAUGCAAAUAAACUGCUUGAUUAUAUUUGACUUUAUAGAUAUAUACUCCUUUUAUUUGCUUAGUCUCAUGCUUUUUUUGUGUGUGUGUGCUAGGAAUUGAACUCAGGACCUUGCACUUGCCAGGUAGGUGCUUGUGCCACUGAGCUAAAUCCCCAGCUCUUCAUGUUGCUUUUCUUGAUUCAUCCAAUUUUCAUUCCACUGAGCUUCUUAUCACAUUAAAAAAUAUAUACCAAACUUUAAAAAACUCAUAAGAAGCAUAGUGCACUUGUUAAAAUAAUGUACAUGGCUCAGACCAAAUGAUUUAGUGGUACAGGAACCAAAUGGAAAAAAAAAAAAACCCAGCACAUGGUUUUCUCUGUUUCAAAUGAAAUAUUUUAGUAGCCAAAGAAUCCUUGAAUUUUAAAACUGGAAAAAAAUAACAACUAACAUUUGCAUAUCUCUUUAUACUUUAUAAACUACAUUUGCAUAUAUUUAAAUCAACCUUUAUUUUACUAAUUGGACAAUGAAAGUUACACUAUUUGCAAGGAGUCCAGGAGGUGAGGAAUCCUAAGGACUUGGACUCUUUAGGAUAGGUAGCAAGGACUGAGUUUGAAACUAGGAUGCCCGGUCAGGACAUGGUGACACACACUUAAGGGGAGCAAAAGCAAGAUGAGAACCAUUUUAAAACUCAGGAUUUGCAGCCCCAGUACUGGCACAUUAAAUAUUUUCUGGAACCAAGGCCAUAAAUAAGCUUUAGGACAAUACUUAGAAACAUAACUAUAUAAAAAUGCAGUGAAUGCUCAGCAAGUAUGCUUGAUAGUAGAUGUAACAGCAAAAUAAUUCCAUUACAAAAUGAUCAUCUGCAAAUGCCCAGACUUUUAAAAGACUGUAUGAGUAUUCAAAUACAAUUUAUAAUAAAAAUGUAUAAUAUUACUAUUUGUCUUAUAUUAAAAAAUGUGUCAGCCUUUUCAGUUAGAAUUUUCCAACUACUCCUGAAGCAGAUGGGAUUCACAUAUGUAGGCAUUUUAAAGAUCUGCAUACAGAUGGAUAUGUAUGUAGAAUUAAAUUUACAUCGGGAACACAGUUCAGGAAUCUUGAAGUACAGUGGUAGUAUUUUAGGACAGGUGCUAGCGUAACAAAUGGCUCUCCAUGAGUUCCCCCAAAUCUUUUGGAAUAAGAGGCACUGCCUGGGUCAGGUCUGUUAACCGGUCAGCCUUCAGGAGUCCCUGUCCUUUGCUCCAAUUCCUUCUCCAGACAGCAGCCAAUUUUUGCAAAGCACAAAUCUGAUCAUGUCUCUCUUUGGAUGAGAUUCAAACUUGCUACUUGAAACACAAACCCCUCUCUUCAUGACAGAUAGUCUCUGCCCAGCUCUCUAGCUCAAUUUCCAUCCCUGUUCACUGUGGAAACAGAAGUCAAACAGAAAGAAGUCACCCGAAACCUCACGUCGCUUUCCUGACUCUGGUCCUAACUUUACGAAAUUUGUGCACAGCUUCCAUAAUGAGGGAGAUUCAGCUCUGCACUGCUCUUUUUAUUUCACGUCAGCAUGCUACCACUCAGCUCCUUAAUAGCAUUUUAGGGAGAAUUCACUCAACCACUUCCCUUUUGCUAGCUUACGAUUGUUCCUGAUUGUUUGCAUUUACAAAGCACAAGGCAAUGAUAUUUACAAAUAUAGCUUUGCAUUUAUUUUCUUGCUCUUAGAAAAAUCUCUGUGAGUGGGAAUGCUCACUGAAUUUAGGUGUGAAGAUUUUUCAUAGCUCUUAAAAAUACAUUCCAAAUAAGCCCAACAGAUCAUUUCCUGGAAAUAUUGCUAGUGAAAGAAAAACUAUCAAACUUGAGAAAAUUUUGUGCAUGAAUAAAUUAAAAUAAUCUCAGAAAACAAUCAGAUAUAUGGCCACGGGUCACUGGGGGAGUCUUUGUAGCCUGAUUUCCUUUGAGAAGGAAGGAAUAGCGGUUGGCCUUGAGAUUUCUAUUUACUGGUCUCCCAUUAUAAGAAUUUACCUGGCUCAUUCCAUAUAUGACAGUCAAGCCUGAAGCAGGAAACGUGAGUCCAUAAAUUUUAGGAUGCGAAACUUUUGAACAUUUGAUAUACAGGAGAACAAUAAUACAAGAAUUGUAUAUCCUCAUACAGUGGACAUAUCUAAAAACACAUUUCCAAAUACUGUAUUUAUUUAGUAUCUGUGUUAAUAAUAAAAAACUUUUAGAGCUGUUCCUUGACUGUAUUUUAAUGGUACGUUUAGGGUUAUAUAUAAAGGCAUUCUGUACUUAAGAUAGCUUAGCACUGUUAGUUGCCUACUUGUCAAUUUAUAUAUACAUUAGUUUUAUAAAAUGAAUACCUUCUGAAACUAUCUUUUCCAGAAAAACCACAGCAUAAGAAUUUGAUCUUGGCAUUUCUGUAAAAGUGGUCUUGAUGUUUCUGCAAAACAUCAGCUUGGUGUACCCAAGACUUCAUGAUACCUUCCAGUGCACUGGGUUAAUAAAUGCCAUGGCAACACGCGUUAACUAGCUACACUUGCACACAAAGUUCAUAGAGUGUUAGAGACAGUCUUAUCUUCUAUGCAAGAUUUUCUGAUUUUAAAACUCGUUUCACUUUUAAAUUUAUUGCACGUAUUCUCUCAUCCACUUGUUUAAACCCUCAACCUAUACACUUUUUAAAUUACUGAAGCCAUAGUGAGGUUGGAGAUCACCCAAAGAUACAGGCUACAGUAUAAGCCUGGCCUGGGUCAGAAGCUCAGUGACAACUGACACAGAAGCAGAAACUCAUUAAUUCCAGGCUGAAGAAUAAUCCAUCAGGUACGAUCAUAUGUGAAAGAUUAAUUUAGAGACCAAUUCAUGGAAACAUCAUUGAAGACACUGUCAUUAUAAAGCAUUGGCUUUUAUUCAGAUUAAGAAGGCUCCACCUGUUUUUCUAUUAAGAGGUUCUGUUUUUGAAGCUAGUUUAGUACUAUCAGCAGGUGACUUGCCAAUUUUUUUCUAAUGGAAAGCUCACAGAAGCACAAGGCCUGCAUUCAAGAGGACUGGGGACAUGGGAGCUUCAAAACAACAUCAAUUGUCAACGUUGUUUGCUGUUAGUCUUGGCAUGUAUUAGGUAGGCCAGACAACAAAGGCAGCACUUCAAGCAAACAAAAAUGAACAGAAAAUGAAAAUUACUAGAGAUUAAAAGCCUUCUUACAAGUCAAAGUCAUUAUGUGGGAAACACACUGGAGACCCAGGAUUCUAUUGAGGCCACUAAUGAGCCAUGAGCCCGCUAGGUCUCCAUUUCCCCACCUCUAAAAUAAUAAUAUACUGAUACAUGCCCUACAGCCUAUGGGGUGUCUUGAAUAAUGAUUAAAUUACUAAGGUUUUAAAAGCAUCUGAACAUACACUAUGAUAAGUGUAAAGAGCAUAUAAGGUCUUAGAGGGUCAAAAUGUAUCAUUUGGAAUGUACUUUGUAACAACAAUAAUAAUGGUAUGAUGAGAAACAGCACCAGACUGAGGUUGACUUAUGCCAGGUACUGUUCUAAGGCUUUGAAUGCACACCCUCCUUUAAUCCUCACAACAACCCUAUGAUGGUGGUAUUGCCAUCAGUCACCAACCUAAGAGGCUGGUUCUUAUGACUAAACUUUCAAAGUAAUCAGCAUAGUCUGCUCACUUCCAGUGGGACCCGCAUGGGAUAGAUAAUAGAACGGUCAGUUUAAUAAGUAUUCCUCUAAAAUCCCUUGAUCCUCUGCUCUGUUCUGACUCAUGUAUCACCAAUCCCUCCUCCACCAGUUUGUGAUGAGCCCAACCACGCCCAGCUCUCUCUGCCUGCCCCUCCGGCCCUAGGUUGUUGAGGUGUGCUGCAGGAACAUAAAUGGCAAUUUGACUCCUGCCUCUGUAAAUAUACAAUCGUUCUUCCCACUGGUGCUCACCAGCACACCCAGACAUUUUCAAUCUCCCUUCUCCUGGGCCAGGGCCGCAGUCACACCUACUAACAACCCCGUGUCCCUUCCUUCGCUCCUGUUGUAAGGCAGCCAUGUCCUCUUCCUACUCAAAGCGCAUCCACCCACACGUGGGGUGAAGUCCAUCUGCUUCCACCUCUUCAGAAAGCGGACUUCAUCUUUAUCCUUCCCCUUUCCAGUUAGUCUGCCUGUUAAGGAACUCCUUGCCUCCCACGUGUUCCCUUCUGGCUUCUGCCUCUCUGUGCCCUUCUCUGUUCCACAUCGAUGGCUCUUGCUGUCACCUCUGCCUCAUCUUCUAUGUCCUUCUGAGUCUCUCUUUUGCCUCCACCACCCAUUGCCAAAUAUUCACUUCACUGUGUCCACUAAUAAAAGGACACUUCAUAUUCCUCAUCUUAGUUCUCAGAGGCCCAGCUGAUUUCUUUUUCCAAAUCUCAAACUUUCCUUGACUUCAGGAUAGCUCAUCCUCCCAUUCCACGCAGACUCUUUCUCAGGCUCCUUUACUAGCUCAGCCUCUUUCACCUGACAUUUAAAUGUGGUUUCUCAAGGCCAGUUUUAAAGAUCACCUGCUACUCUGAGUUGCUGAAGGAGUCAAUGAGCCAGUGGAACACACCUAGGCUUAGGGUAGUUGGUGGCACACAGUAAAUGCUAAAUGACCUUUAGUCAAUCUGUCUCAGGCUUCAAAAGCCAUGUUUAGGUGGACAGCACCCAAAGGUGAUGUCGUCAUGCAGACCUCCACACUGAGCCCCAAAGCUGCAGCCCACUGCUGCCUCACCAUCUUCACUGAGAUGUCUCUCAAGACCUCAAGAUCCGUACUGCAAAUGAACCAUCUCAUGCUCUGCCCACACUUGGUUUGGAUGGGGUCUCGGACUACUUGGAGAAUCAGAUAAAAGUUCUCUUCUGAUAAAAAUUCACAAAGUACAUUAUUUUGCAUAUAACUUGGCAUAAUUUAUGGACCCCAAAUUAAGGACCAUUAUCAUAGUGCAUGUGUCACUUGAGCUUGUUCUUGAGAGGAGGAUAAAGUUUUUCCUAGUGGAUAGGCAUGAAGGUAGGAAGGGCAGAGCUGGCAGAGAGGGCAGCUUGACAGAGGCAAGGCAGCAGCAAAACCACCGGAUGUGGCCAGGUGCAAGGUAAAAAGAGGGACCUGGGUAGAGAAAGAACCAGAGGGGAAAAGGAGGCACUUCAUACUUCUAGCCAUGCCAAACUCGUGCACUUGAUGGGUGACAGAGCCAUAAAAGUUUGGAAAGGAAAGAUAGGGCCAGAUUUAUGUUUUAAAAAUAAUUAUUCUAACACACAUGUAUUGAGUGCUUUCUAUGUGUCCACAGGUUGCCAUCUAAAAGCUAGAAAUGGGAAGCCGAGCAACGCAAGCUCCAGAAAAAUGCGGAAACUAUGAAAAGCUUCUUUGAUAACUAAAGUAAAAUUCAAGGAGCAUAUGAAGGACAAACACAAGAUGAAAGCACAUGUAAUGAAACUAUCUGAUUUAAAUUCAUGCAUUUUACCUCUAUUUUAGUUUGAGGAUGCUAGUGAUGGAAUAAGAAUUCUUUAAACAAUUUGGUACUGUUACACAUUUUAGUGACAGAGGCAGAGAACAGAAGCUUGGGAGUCAGCAUGCUCAGUGAGCCCUCCCAGGAGCCCUGGCAGCUGUCAUGCUGAUUCUUGGUUUCGGAGGGGAUGUCCCCCUGGGUCAGGGCUUCCUUUCCUUCUCAAAGAAAAAAUUCUUGCAAAAAAUGUAUUCUAGGUGAGUUCUGAAAAUUGAAAAUAAAUGGAGUAGAGAACACCUUUUAACUCAGCUAUAAAGGA